UCCUAAAACCUAUCAAGAGGCGUUAGGCUUUCUAGACUCAAGUUUUUGGAAGGAAGCAAUUAAGAGUGGAUUAGAUUCACUUACCAUGAAUCAAACUUGGGAGUUGGUAGAUCUUCCUAAAGAUAGUAAAUCUAUAAGAUGCAAAUGGAUCUUUACAAAAAAAACAAUACAUGACAGAUUGAUUUGAAAGGUACAAAGCUAGGUUAGUAGUAGUAGGAUACAUUAAAAAAAUAAGUUAUUGAUUACUUUUGUAGGUCUAGAAAAUAAAGUGUGCAAGCUUAAAAAAUCUUUUUAUGAUAUAAAAAAAACUCCCAAAUAAUGAAUGAAAAGUUUAAUAAAACUCUAGUAAACAAUGUGAAACGAAUUGAAGAGUGAAUCAAGAAAUCAUAAUUGAAGUAAAUGAAAAAGUUGAAGAGAUGAAAUGCUUGAAAGUUGAAGAGUUCCUUGAACAUCCCAAAAGUCAUAAAAUUAAAAGGAAUUAUGCAUUUGUGUGUUUUCAUUUAUUACGGUAGUUGAAAAGGUAUAAAAUUAAAUGUUGUGACCUUUCAUUUAAUAUUUUAAUUAGCAUAAAUAGGUGAUAGAACUAAGUCAUGCACAGCGGAAAAAGAAUCGAAUUUCUACCCUAAUUGCCACAAUUAACAUAUAACCAUAAACUAAUCAAAUUAGGGUUUUAAGAAAUAUUACCUUUGAAGCUUUCAAAAGGUUCGAUAUCUUCUUACCAAUGCUAGCCGAGACCACCACUAGUACUCAACUGCUAUCCUCUAGACAAAGAACCGGGUUGUGGGACCCAAUUUUGGUGUAGAAAGUAAUGGAGAUAAAAAUGGGAUUGGAAGGUUUCUUUUUUCUUUUGUUGAGAUUAUGAAAAUGAUCAAAGAGGCAAAAGUCUUUUCAACAUUUGAAAACACCUCUAUUUAUAACCUAAUUACAUGCAAAAAUGCAUGAAAUUCAUUUGCCAAAUCUCAACACCUAAUGUUCCACUAACAAUUAGUGGAACUUAGUGGGCUAGGUGUCUAUAUCUCAUAUAGCCACAUAUCCCACUAAGAGUUAGUGGGAUUAUCCAACAAAAUGUUGGAUUUUCCCACUAACUUAGUCCAAGGGUAAAAUGGUCAUUAGAUAUUUCUAGUAGUCAAAAGUCAAACUUUGACUUUUCUAAGUCAAAAGUCAAUAUUUUGACUUUUUACCAUUUUGUCCGUCUUGACUAAUUCCAACCUCCCGAGCAUGAAUCCGCAUUCAUUUUUCCAAAAUUCAAAUCACAUUUGAAUAUAAGGCCGGUCAAAGUUUGACUUUUCAAAGUCAAAAGUCAACAUUUUGACUUUUUACUAUUUUUGACCAAUUCCGAGCUUCUUAGUAUGAAUCCGCAUUCAUACUUAUAGUAUGUAAAACAUAAAGCUCUAUUUCUAAUUAGAAGACCGACGACUAUAUCACUGUAUAUGUCGGUUUCCCUUUCUUCUCCCAAUUCGAACAAUUCGACUUAUUUCAUAAAUUCGACUUAUUUCAUACACUGUUCUAAAGUUUAAUCCAUAUGAGCUAGCAGAGGAACCUAAUGGACCUAUAGAUCAUGGGCUCCAACGAUUCAAGGUUAACUAGCUAAACUCUUUUAAACCGAGUUAAUCAACAUUCGUUAACUAACGGGUCAUUCCACUAAAGUCCCGUAGUUGCACUCCCCUCACUAUAGAUAUAUUUGUGUCCAUUUGAUAAAACCAUAAUCAGUAAGUUAAUCCUUCACAGGUUGCUCGUAACCUUGGCUGGGUCAAAAUACCGUUUUACCCCCAAGAUUACAUCUUGCUCCUUAAGUCCCACUAAUCCACUAUUGAACAAUUGGUUUAAGGUUCAACCUAUAAACUUAAUCCCUCUCGGGCCAAUGAGAGGGUGGGGCCCCUUGUUCAAGACUUGGAUUCAGUGCUUAAGAGAAGCAACCUAUCUACUAACCCUAAAGCGGGUAGGAGUGAAUUCCAUCUUGUACCCUAUGUUCCCAGCUAUCCACCCGAUCUUACCCCUGAAAUGGGAGGCUUAUUGGGCCAACGCUGAUGAGCUGCCCUCACCUAUGUAGAUCUAAGGAUAAUCUCGUGUGAACAGGAGUUCAUAGUUAACUCAGGAUUAAGACUAAGUUACCUAGGUCAUCAAUAAUUGAGAUAGUCAGUUUUAAACAGUAAACGGUGUUAUAACGUAAAAAAGACUAAUUCAUGGUUCAGUCUUAUGUAAACAUUUUACAUAGGAUGCCCCCACUUUCAUGUCUCUACAUGAACGAUUAGGAUCACCUCGUUUGUACAACAAAGUGGGCCGCAUCCAUAGUUUCUCUAAAUAAGGCGCCCAACCUUUAUUUCAUAUACUAUAGACUAUUUAGGCUAUAUACUCGAACUUGAUCCACGUUUAUGUUUACACAUAAAGUUCAAGUUUAUUCAAAAAUAGCCUUGGAACUUGAUUUAUUGGAUUUAAGAUUAUAAUAUUUAAUUUCUCAAUAAACAACUUUAUUGAACAGAAUAUGAUUUACAAACUACGAGUUUUAGGACAAAAAAUUCCAACAAUAGGGUUAUAAUUUCCACAUUUAAAAAAAAAUUGGAUGAAUGAAAUCUGAAAAAUUCUAAAAUGUAAAAUUUUGUUCUUGUGUGCUCUUGUGAUAGAAUGCCCGAAUAUUUGGAGCAUUCAAGUGAGAAUUGAUCUGUAUUGCUUGUGGAGUGCUUUCAAGAUUGAGGGUCGAUGGGAGUUUCUAACUUUGUCAGAUUCUUGGUUCGCUAGAUCAUCUAAGUAACUUGAAUCUCUAUCUUAGGGGUUGAAAUUAAAUUGGUUUUGGAGCUGUUGGGGUUAUGUUCUUUGAGUCUUGUAGUUUAACAUGGUUCUUAGAUCCAAUGCCAGAGGUUUCGUAUCACAAUGAUUUCAAAGUGAAUUUCUCUUAUUCUUACGAUUACACAAAAUUGUUUGGAGCAGAGUGUGUGAUUAUUUGUUUAUAUGCUGACAUGUUAUUGUCAUCACACUUUGAAAUGAAAGAUUUAGUAAAAGUUGACAUAAUUCUUGGUGAAAAAUAAGAAAGAGUGAGAAUGGAUUCUCUUUUUGUCAAUCACACUACAUAGAAGAACUUUUAAAGAAAUUUGAUAGCUUCGAUGACACUCCUGCUAGAACACCUUAUGAUGCAAGUAUAAGCCUUAAGAAAAAUAAAAGAAUAGUGUUUCUCAAUUUGAAUAAGCAAAGAUCAUAGAGAGUGUCAUGUUUUUAAUGAGUUACACAAGACCUGAUAUAACAUAUGUUGUGAGUAGAUUGAGAUACACACAUAAUUCUGAUAAGGAUCAAUGGAUUGCACUCCAUCGUGUGUUAAGGUACCUUAAGGGCAAAGUAGAUCAUUGUUUGCAUUCUAACAAAUUUCUUAUUGUUUUAGAAGGCUAUAGGGAUGCAAAUUGGAUAAUAGAUAACGACGAAGUAAGCUUCACUAGUGGAAAUGUGUUCUUACUAGGAGGGGGAGCCAUAUCAUGGAAGUUUUCAAAAAAGACUAUUAGAGCUAGAUCCACUAUGGAAUCAGAGGUUAUCACUCUAUAAUUAGCAGGACAAGAGAGGUUGAAUGACUUAGAAGCCUAUUGAGGGAUGUACCAUUGUGAGGUGCAUCAGUACUAGUCUUGUUACAUUGUGACUCACAAGUAGCCAUUGGAUUUACCAAAAAUAGUGUAUAUAAUGGCAAAAGGAGACAUACGUCUUAAAUAUGGAGCUUUAAAACAGUUGGUGAAAGGAGGAAUUAUCUCCUUGUAAUUUGUGAGGUCAGAAAGAAACUUAGCGGAUUCUCUAACCAAAGGUCUAAUAAGAAAAAUAUUUCAAAAAGCCUCAUUAAGCAUGAUACUCAAACUCAUGAAAAACUCCAUAGCCCAUAGCUCUUUCUUUGGGUAGCUCUAGUAUAGACUUGAUGGAGGUAACCAAAACCAUAAAGGUCUAUAGCCCUUCUUUGGGUGGUUUUGGUGUGAACUUGAUGGACUAUGUCACACCCUGCUUUGCAUACAAACAAAAAAAAAAUGUGCCAUGCGGGAAGCGACGUGAUUUAGAUUAAACAUUUUUAAACUUGGACUUAUCACCUAGUUCACUCAAGUAACAUGACACUAUAAAACUUAACCAUUACGCGAUAAGAAACAUCAUAACGCUGUAGAGAGUACAACAAACAACUUCUUUUAUUAGAUUUAACCAUGCACCAUACAACAUUAUACAUAUAUCCUUGAUCAAAAUUACAACAGCUUAAACUAAACAUCUUCCUCGACUUCUAACUUCAAACGCCUUGCUAGCUCAUCCUACCUUCUUAGCCUAGCCUUAACACUUGAACACAUGGGAAGGAAAUUUUUAAAAAUAAGUCAAAAGACUUAGUGAGAUUUUAAGAAAAAUCCUUUGAAAAUACAUUUCAAAGACAAAAACGUUUCAGUUCAAUUAGGCUUAUCACCUCAUUUCAUAAUAUUCAAACACAUAACACAUAUUAGCCUUGUAUCUUUCUCGUCGAGACCAUGAACCAUUCUCAAUGCCAAGACUCAUCGCCUUGUGUUUAGACUACUCUGAUGGUCUUUUCAUCAGUAGCAUCCAGGAAUCCCUUGGUUUAUUCCUCGUUGUUCAGGCCGCCAAACAUAAUACACAUCUUUUAUGCAUUGACUAGCUUCACUCCACCAUGCAUACCUUUUCUACAUGGUUGCCUAUACCCUAUUGUUCAUAUAACAGUUAGCUCAUUGAUAGGAAUAAGACUAAUAUUUUGAACACAAUCUCACAUCCAUUUAAACAACACAACUUUCUUUAAACAUAAGCUUUCAUUUGAAAAUAUUCAUGCAUAAAACACCAUUACAAUCCAACAUGAUGUUUAAAAAAAAAGCUUUAAAGUGCAAAACACAUUUCAAAGUCACUCACAAAAAUUUGAUUUUCCUUCAACUUAAAACGCCUAACUUUAGCUGCAGCUCUUCCUUUUUUCUUAGAAUUUCCCUUAACAACUUCAUCACUUUGAAAAAUCUUCAGAAAAACUAACACCCUUAUAAAUCCUUUUCAGUUUUAUUUAUACUAAUCUUAAACGUGAUUAGUCAUCCUUAAGCUUCUUUUAAAAUUGUCAGCUCUUACUUAUAACUUUACAUGUGUAAGAUUAGUAUUUUACUUAAUCAUGCUUAACCCUUAAUCUUACAUGUAAAUUUUUGUCCAAUCAAGAUUAGGCAUCCCGCUUGGUUUCAUUUCGGGUGGUACUUUCAAAAUGCAUAAUAGUCCUUAAACGCCUAACGUCUUCUUGUCUCACCUCGUCCUAACAUAGACAUCAAAAUGCAAGCUUCUUCUCAUAACGCUUAUUCAACACUUAGUCAAAAUUUUGACCCUUAUGUUCCAAACAAAGGUCUCACAGACUAGUUAAAUUUUCAUAGUUCAAUUUUGAGUGGUUUGCCUUUGACAAACUUAAUGAAGUUGGUCUAAGUAUGGACCACGUGAAUAGUCUUCAUAGCUUAGUUGUGAGUGGUCUGCUACGAUAAACUUGAUGAAGCUAUAAACAUGAAUGUGAAAGUGGGGCCGUCUUGUACGAAAGAGUUAUUUUUCAGAGUUUUCACGGUAACCAGAGUUUUAUGUGCACGAUCAUAAAUAACACUUUAUAUCACGAAAUCAAGAAAAUUUAAGAAGUAAAAACGUGUUGUAUGGUCCCAACCUCAGUUAGUUAAGAAGUAAAAACGUGUUGUAUGGUCCCAACCUCAGUUAGGGAAAGUUCAAGAGGCAAAAACUCACUCUCACUAAUAAAGUUGUUGCACCAAUUCAAAUCAAAAUAUACCGAUACUUGCGUUUAUCUUCUAAUAGCUCAUGAAUUCUUUUAGAGUUUUCUUUUUCCUCUUUAUUUUUCUUCUUACCAUACCAGCCAUUCGUGGAGGAUGGUUGAAAAUGAGUUUGAGCUUAAGAUCCAUAACAAAAUGAAAAAGUUGUUUUUUGAAAGAAAGGAGGUAAUCGUCCCACAUUGGAAGAUUUGUGUUACUACACACUUGCUAAACAUAGGAUUUCCAAUGUUGGACAAAAUUCAUAUUUCACAAACCACUUUUCAUUACAACUUUAGAUUUCACAAACAGAACAGUCAUACCAAGUAAUAAUUUUGGCCGAUCAAUUUCUAUUCCAUAUAUCUUCAAGUUCUUAAUAGUUUAAUCAUUAUACUUUCAACCAUUGUCAAUUUUUAUUUUCUAACUACCUAAUAAUUUUGAUUUUAUUAAAAACUACCUAAUAAUUAUAUAGGUUAUAACCAAGUUUGGUUCUUAAUAAGGUUAAUUAUAGUCUGUACACAAGUUGGUUCCUAAUAAGGUUUAUUAAUAUAAAGUAUAAGAAAUUUUAUUCAAGUCUGUAUGAACAGUUUGGACUACCACUUUCACCAAACACAAAAAAAAAUCUUCAAAGGACAUUGAAAUCCUUUGAUCAAAUUUUUUUAGUGCUCCAGAUUAGUGGCAGUAUGAACACAAUGGACCUGUAACUUGGAUCCUCUUCAAUUUAACAAUCAGUAGGUAUUGUAAAUAAAAUAAUCAAAAUAGCACAGUCAAAAUCGAAUGAACGAAUUGGUAAAUAUUAUAUAGCUAAAGUAUAUUGAAACAAACAAUAAUACAUAAUCAAUGGGCAAUGGGCAAUGGGCAAUCUUAGGAUUGCGAAUUCUAAACCAACAAUAGGCACUACAAAUAUCAAUGAUGCUACAACGAAUAGAAGUUUUGAAUACUCUCCAGCAAUAGCUGCAAUUGCAGACUGGAUUCAAGAGCUUCUAAACCAAUUUACAAUGAUACAUAGGAAUAGCCAACACACAAAGUGAAUACAGUGGUGAUAUUCUGAUAUUACCCCACAGAAAUUGGUUAUUUGUUUGUGAGAAGCUGAAAGACAAUGGAGGAAGGAUUCAGAAAGGGCUAACCAUUCGUGCCAAUCUUAUCAAUACCUCUGGAACAAGGCGUGGUUUUGGUGGCGCCAUAGAAUCCUUUGCAAGAGCUUCCUCGUCUCCAGCAUGUAAUAUGGCAACUAUUUGAUCAAAAAGUUCAUAAUUGCCUCCACGAAACGGAUCCUGAAAAAAGAUGACAAGAAGCUUCACAAAAUGACUAUGUAGAAAGAUGCAAGAAGGAAUCUCUCAUCUUCCCAAGUACAACACGAAACGAAGCUAACAAUCAACUUUUUUUUUUCUCUUCCAAUAUAAUGGUUAAGUUCCUCUCCUUUUUGUAAGGGUAUUUAUACAGGUAUACACACUUUUAGUUAAAUAUAUCAAAUCAGUCACGAGUUUGUUAAAGGACUUGUAGAAAAUAAAAACAGGCAGAUAAAAAAGAUAAACCACCUUUUUUAUCCCUUCUCUUCCUAAAUUUUUAAUGACAAUUUUGUGAAAGUCAAAAAACCUAAAAAUGUAAAUAAUGUAUUGCUCUGGUCGAUCUUCCUCCAUAGCAUAAAUACAGUGGAUAAAUUUUAGAGAAAAUGUACGCAUGAGAAAAUAAUUAUCUUUUCCCUCAAAGAAGUUUGUGGGUGUGUGCACAUGUCAAACUUACGCUGAGUCACUCCUGUAGGAGGGUUAUAAAGUUCAAAUGAGAGUAACCAAAAGACAACAUCAGAAGCUACAAUAAGGCCUUGAGGUCAGCUUACUUGAAGGAACAAAUCUGUGUGAGUUUUUCCCUCAUAGAGAAAUAAGUCAGCUUGUGCCCCUACUUUUCGAAGUGUCUCCACGAAAGUUUCACUGAAAAUUUGGAAUUAGCAUCUGAAAGUUAAAAGGACAUAGAACUUAUUCAUCCGACGACCAUGAGAAUAUGAUUCUAUUUUUUGAUGCUUGAAAUUGGGCAUAAUCGGAUUCCUUUACUUUUAUUGGUUUCAUACCUAUGCAUAAUUUAUAUACUGAGCAGGAGCUGAUUAGCAAGCAUCUAUUAUAAGAUUCCAGAAAAGCUAUGAGAUCUUAAUAAAUAGAAGACCGAACAUACUUUUUUCCCUUUCUGUUCCAAUUACACACUUUACACCGCCAAAAAUAUUUUUUUUCACAUAAUCACCCAUUUAUACACAAUUAAAGGUUACAACACUUCACCAUUCCAAAAAUUAAAGAUAAUAGGUCAUUUUACAUAUUUUAUUAGGGUUCAUCUGAUAUCAAUUCAAUAAGAGAAAUACACUAACCUGGCAUCAAAUGGGAUUGAAUAAUCACCCGUGCCAUGGAAAAGAACAAAAGGAGGUAAACUGGAAACAACAUCACUAACACUAGGAUCUUGGAUUCUUAUUUCUGGGGAAAACUGGGACAAAGAUUCUUCACCUUCCAUUAUGCUACAGAGAAUAAAAGUGGCUCAAAUUGUGAAAAGGAAUAAGUUGACAUAAACUAGUCAGUUAAUGAAGAGAAAAUAGACAUUUAGAACCUACCUCAAAAAGACAGAACGAUAUAGACCCCUACUAUCAAAGUGAUCGACUAGUUUCCACAAGUUAUACCUGUUCACAGAAUUCAGAAAAGAAAACUUGAGUACAGGGUCCUCAUUCAGAAGGAAAAUUGCACAAUGAUCAAUAACUGGGACUUUAUAAAGUAAUGAAAUAAAAAUUGAAAGAGCAAUGGUCAACUAAGGGUGUUUCUACUACUUUCCAGCAAGACUACAUUUUGACUAAUAAACUGUUGUGAAUUCAGUCCUCAAAUAUAUAGGCUUCAGCUUUUCAAAUCUAUAGAAUGCACGGUGUUCCCCUUGUCCCCUCAUAUAGAUAAUAGAAUUUGAGAGGUGUUACAAGAUUUAUAAACCAUUGGCAUGAAAAAGGAUCAACCACCUGGAGGCCUUUCAGUUUAUAUCAUAACGUCCCUUGGGCUAUACUUUGAAAGGAAAGUAAAAGAUUUUACCCAGCCAAGAGCCAAUACAAAAAAUGAUUAUAGAAUCUAUUGAAUGGGAUGAAUUUGUUGUUAAAGCCCCAGAGAUGAGAAGUUGAGAGGUUACACAACAACCCGCCAUUUUUAUUGCAAAAAGUCCAGAAAAAAUAUUGACGUGUAUAGCUCAAAUUCUUCUCAUCCUAUUCUAUUCUAUUCUGACUGGCACCUUCUGAAGCACAUACAAAAUGUACUUCAUCUAAGUGGUCUUUAUAAAAGAAGAAAAAGUUUAGGAUUGGCGACAAAGCAUGCGAUGUCCAAUCAUAGACAAACCAAAGAGGCUUGGAAUUAUUGAUCAUAUAAUUUCAUGGGAAUUCCUUAAAUGCCACAAGAAAGACGUAGAAAAUUACCCUCCAGAUAAACCAAAAUAAGCUUUUAUUUGGGAGACACUCCAAUCUACACUCUCUCCUUUUCUAGCUUCUUUGAUUGCUUGAUCCAAGAGGGCACAAACGGAAAUAUGUGCACCAGCUGAUUGUCCCAUCAGAAAGAUUCUAUUAAGAUGGGGCAAAAUAAAAUAAUAAGGUGGUGAGCAUAUGAUGAAGGAUGAAAAAAAUGAAGAAAUCAUUCAGUCACCUGUCCAGAUCUCCUCCAUAGUCUGCUAUAUUCUUGCAUACAAAUGAAAUCCCUUGAGAAACAUCUUUCACCAUGUCACUGAUUGUGCCCUGAGGAAAGUUCCUGCAAAGUACAGGGUUAUGAGAUUAAGAUAGAAAAUCAAGACACGGUCAUAACAAGGACAUGUUUAUUAAAAUAGCACUCUUCAAGAAACUACUAUUUCUGUGUCAGAGAGAAAUUUGAAGUUUCCUUAUGCAUUUAUAGAAACAAGUUUCCUGUAUUUAACUCUCAAAGUUUAUUACGUCAGCUAAUUAUGUUUAACAAUCAUUUGACACAUACCUAAGAAGUUUCAAACUUAUAUUAACUCCAACAACUAGAUUUGACAAUAUCCAUUGUACCAAUAAAUAGAGCCCAUGUCCAAGAAACUACUAGUAUUAUCUGUACUAAUAGAUUUGUCAGAGAAAGUGUCCAACAUGUUGGACACAGAUACAUCACCCAAACUAAAGGUUUAACUUCUCUUAGGUUAACGCAUGCCAUUCAGUCAAGUUUCUUGCACCCAUCAUUCUUCAUUCAAAUAAGUCAAACAGAGAACCAUAUAAACCACCAGUAUCCCCCCUGCCCCACAGAAGAAAAUAAUAAUAACAAUAAUGAAGAAAGGAAGAAUGAGAAGAGUUUAAAAAGUUCAUCGAAGUAAUGCUUGAACAUAAUGCAUUACCUAUAGUCAAUUGAGGCUACAAUGACGUCUCUCUCUGCCAACUGCAGUCCUAAAAGUGCUCCCCAUGCUUUAUUCCUAAAUCAUUAACAAAUAUUAAUAUUGUAUUUCCAGAAUGGGAAACUAAGACGCAAAAAAGCUUCCAUGAAGAUAAUUAAACAAAUCAAUUUGCUAUUUUGGUACAUGUCCUUCCAAAAAAAAAGAGGUAGUUUGGCCAUUUUAGUUUUUUCAUAAUUCAUAAGGUUUCCCGAGGAUGUAAGUUUGUCAUUCCCCAGACCCAAAUGUUUACAAAAAGAUAGAAAAAGAUAUAAUUAUUAUGUGGUUAUUGCAGCUAUAGCCCUCCUGAAGAGAACUUAGAAAGGAAUAUAAUUUUUUAGUACCCUGACUAGUUAUCUUCAAGAUUCUCGAUUUUUUUUCCUUCCUAUCCUCCAUUUGGAUUACCCAAAGAGCUUUCGAAAUCAUCCUUCUUUAAUUAAGGACAACAAAAAAACCAGUGUACAGAAAAGUCUAAAGAAUAAAACAUGUAGUGUAUUGUAGUAAUAAAAUUGUAUAGCUUAGAAGAAGAGCAUCUGUAAGACCUGAACGAAGCCAAUGCCAAAAAUCAUUUUAGGAUGGACAUGCAUAAUCGUCUACAGUCUACACUUACCCAAUAAUCCAAGCUCCACCGCUAACGAAUAUCACAACUGGUUUCUUUUUAUCAGUAUUUGUAGGUAGAUACAAAUCCAAGCUGAAACAUCAUCCAAAAGAAGGAUAGAAAAAAAGUCAUGAAUUGGAUAAUGGUUGACGUAGAAAAAGGCAGACUUAACAAUUACCUGUUGUAGAACACAUACCUAUUUCUCGGUUGAGUUCCAUAAAUAAUAUCUCUCCGAACCUGACUUGAGAAGUAAUAGUCAUACAUAACUGUUGUAAACAAAAGGUAAUCAGAUACGUGAAUUAAUCCAGGACAUGCAAAUGUUUCCAAUAAUAACAUUUCAGUCAAAUUUCUGUAAGUCGAGAUGGCAACAUUAAUAUGAGGGGAUGAUAUUUUCUUUCUUUAGACUGUACUAAAAUGUUGAAAUGAUGGCCAAAAUUACAGGUUGUGUGAUCACAUUGAAUUUCUGUAAGUCGAGAUGGCAACAUCAAUGAAUUUAUUAUCAGAGAAAUUCAUGGAUACUUAAGUUUCAAAUAGCUGAUUAACUUAUAUUUUUCCAACAAUUUUUCUAUUAUAAUAAUUAUCUUGGAUUUCGUUCAUCCUCUCAUUUCUCUAUCUACAUGUAUCUCCCUUUAUCCUCCUUCAUCUUUUAGUUUUUUUAUUAUUAUUUUUUACAUCUAAUUUAAACAACUAUGGUUUUCAUUUUCUUUUUCCUUCAAAAGUCAAAACUUUCAUUGAUAUUCAGAAAACUCUGGACUUAGUACUUCUAUCUAGAUUGAUGUUGAAUUCACUGAACAAUUUCUUGUAAACAUGAUAUCCACUAUCCAGCCAGAGGGCUGCGAUGAUCGUGAGAGUAUCCAAACUCAGAAAACUGUCCAAGUUUAACGUGAUUUCAAUAUAGUUCACUAUACCUUACUCAUUAAAGACAAAGUGUAUCUACCCUUGCACCUGAGUUAAAAUCUUUAUCUUCACCAGAAACUGAGUGAAUCAAGAAUAUUUGGUACAAAAUAAAGUGGAUAAUUCUCAUCCAUUGACACAUAAGAGGCAGAGACGCUGUUUUGAGUAGAGUAUUGAUGUUAGAAACAUGAUUGUAUAGCCUAUCAUCUGUUAUGGAUUGACAUUGGCCCUAGAAGAUUAUUGGUGCAGAGACCCCCUUUGUCUAACAGAGAACAGAGAAUUAUUAAGUGAUCAAUUUGUGCAGCUACCAGUUGAGUGUCCUUUUUCAUUAUUUUUUUUAGCUUCUAAACACGGUUGAAACUUAUAAAGAGUACAUAAAUUAGAACAUGAACCUCUCAUUUCCCAUUGAAAUGCCAUGUAAGGAAAAAUAAAGAACAGGGGAUGUUAUGAAUCAACCAGCAUGAGAUUGAUCUAGUCAUGGAAGGGCUAAGGAUUAUGAGAAGUAACUCUAACCACCAUUUUUUUACAAAAUAUUUACAUACAACAAGCUUCAUUGGAUUAAAUAUCAUAAAACUUGACCAUUGGUCGAGUGAGUUUACUCAAAGUACAAAAAUGAUGGCUCAUAAGAACGAGAUUGAUAGCUAGAAGGUGUUAUUCAGAAAAUAGUAAGGAAGGACGUCAAAGAGGAAAUGUGGCCUUCACCAAUUUUAUAGGCUACGGAAGAAAGCGCAUGACUAAGUUGACCAGAGGCUUCUAUUGGUGCUUUAAUUUGUAUUCCCCACACGCAAUUUUAUAUUAAAGAUAACGAAAUUCCAAUAAGAUUUUACAGGACAAAAAAGCAAAAGACACUUAUGCAAUAAGUAUGUUAAAAAAAAUACCUUGAAGAAAACCGGGCAUAAGAAGGAUGGCAUACACUGCAAGUGCAGUUAAUCGUACGACCCACCGGUACCCUACCCUGAACGAAAAGAAGGGAUCAUGAUACAGAGAGAGAGAGAGAGAGGAAGAGCCCAUUGAAAAAGCAAAACUAUAUUCAUUCCGUAAAGAUUUCAUGAUUAAUUUAAAAUUUUACCGAUCCUCCUGUUCGAAGAAAAGAAAUUAAUACAAUAAGAGAUUUCAUGAUUGAAGUGAUCCCCAGGAGAAGAAAGCAUGAAACUAUAAGCUAUGAUAUAAGAUCCUUUCCAUUAUAGAAAGAAAAUUUGGCAUCCUGUUAGGUAUUUGCAAAUUCUAAUUACAGGAAGAACCCGCCGCAAAUUAAGGAGAUAAUCCAACUCAUAGUCAGAACAGAGAGAUAGAGGGAUCGAAGUUACAUUCACCACUUAAUCAGAACAUUCAGGCUUUCAAGUAAUGGACAAAAAGAGAUAGAGAGCAGAGAGAAUCCAUUUCCAGAUUACCCAAGAGAUCGAAGGAGAGUGAAGCUGAGGCGAGUAAUGAGAAAGGUUUCGGCAGCUGCAUGGCCAAAAUCUCGACUAAAAGACUGCUGGCGCCGUGGCACUUGGGGCUUUCCGACGCCGAGACGGCGGCGCAACUGGUGGUGGAAAAUCCCAAUCGGAUAAGUGAGCAUCCUGGAAAGCAGAGGGCGAGUCUGGGUGGAAUCAUCGUCGUCAAAGCGAAUCCCUUGGCCGGAGAACUUGACGACAGGGCGGAGCCGGUCAGCCGGAGCCGCCAUGGACGGCGGGAGGAGAGGAUGGAAGGGAAGGCGAUCGGAAGGGGAAAUCGGGAGGGGGGAAUUUGAGAUUCAGAUUUGAAAAAUUGGAAGCCGUUUUGAGUAUUGAGAUGAAAUUGUGUGAAUUUUGGAUUCAAAAUGGAAGAGAUGGGAAAAGGGUGUGAGAUUGGAAGGGUAAGAAAUAAAGAAAUAAAAGAAUGGGAAACUUUUGGAAGUUUCAAAGUUGCAAUAAGAUUGCCACGUGUUUGCGUAUGUGGCAUACCGAAUAAUAACGAUCACUUUGAUAAGACUCCCAAUUUGAUGAGAGAGUCCCUUCAAAGUUUCAAACAUCCUUUUUAUUUUUAUUUUUAUUUCUUAUCUAUCAUUUCCAUAUGCUUCUAACUUUAAACUUUUCUUCAUUAUUAAUUACCUCAAUUUAUUUAUUUCGUCCUUUUUCUUUUCAUGGUUCUAACACUAACAAAUUUGGACUACACAUCCUUUAAUAAUAUUUUUUAAAAAACAGUUAUUAAAUAGUACAACUUCAAAGUGUUUUGAAAUUAUAUUAAAUGGUUGCUAACUAAAAUAUACUCAAUUUCUCUCAUUUUUGAAAUCAUUCAAAUUGAAUGAUGGAUUCAAUUCUUUGUAUCUAUGUGAAUAAAUAAACAGUUGGAGGUGUAAGAUGAUGUAGCAGAUAUCCAAAGUUUCACUUACCUCACAAAUGAAUUCAAAGUUAAAAACAGUAGUCGAUGUAGUUUUAAAUUUGGGUUUAUAUACUUCCUAAACUUUCAUAAAAGUUGAAUUCAGUUAUCAAAUGUGUCAAGAAUUUGAGAAAGCAUGCAUGCAUGCACUUCAAAUAUUAAGCAAAUAAUAAUAAUAACAAAUAACAAAUAAAACCAUGAAAUGAAGAUUUGUUACAUCAAGAAUUAAUGAAAAUGGGAGAUGCGUUCCCAAUGAUCCUCCAACUAAAUACGGUGUCGUUGAUGAAAUGUGGUGCCUUUCUAUUGGCUGUUAAAGAUGAUAUUCAUAUUUAAUUAAAAAUAUAGAGCAACAACAAGAAGGGAAAAAAAAUAAGACAGAUGAAAUUCAUGGAGAAAAAUUAUGAGUCAUAAGUUUUGAUUCUCUUUAAUUUCUCACUUUAUUUAUACAUAUUAGUCUAACAAAUGUACUUGGUUAAUUAUUGUUCACUACAGAAAAAAAAAUUAAAUAGAUUAUUGACGAUUGGAUGGAUUUUGCUAUAUUUUGCUUUUUAAAAUGAUCCUUAAAAAUAAAGAAAAAUUUAAAAUUUAAAAUAAAAAAGUUGUAAUUCAUUAUUUAUUCAAACAAAAAUGAGUAGAAUUAUUGAAUAAAAAAACUCAAAACCAAAUUGUUAGCAUAAAAGCAAGUUAUUUAGAAUUCAAAGAUAUAUGAACUCAACUUUGCACCUCAAAUACAAAUAUAUAAACUUAGACAAAACAAUUCUCCAUCCCAAAUAAAGAUAUGUGAACUUCAAACAUCAUAUAUCAACUCACUAUCUCUAACAACCUUUUAUUAUUAUUGACGUUCAAUUUUUUCCUUCUAUUCUAUAUUCAAAACAUUACUUUCAUGUCUACAAAAACAUACUCUUUAAUAUUCAAUUAAGAUUCAAAUUUUGACCAAACAAGUAGGUAUGAAACGCAUAUCAAUAAUGUAAACAGUUUCAAGUCAACUCGUUUAGCUUAAAUGAUGAAAAUAAAUGGCAAUAUUCAACUAAUAAACAAGAAAAUUAAUGUCGGUAUAUUAAUUCAACGAUGGAGUAAUAAUAAAAGUGUUUCUAGAUGAACAAGAAAUGAUUAUUAAGUUUAUACCAAGUUGUUUAGAAAUAUAGUUUUAAUUAGAUAUGGAUAGAUAUAUACGUAUCACUAAUUUUACUAUAUAUAAAAAUACUUUUAAUAAUUUAUCAUUUAAAAUAGGAAUAUUUUUAAAUAUAAUAAAAUAAAUUAAAGGUAUUUACAAAAAAAAAAUAUAGCAAAAGUUUGAAUUCUACCAACAACAGAUAUACUAUUAUCAUAAACUUCCAUUACUAUCCAUGAUUAAGAGUGUCUAGAUAUUACAUAAUUUUUCUAAAGUAGAUUGUUUUUUAAAUUGGAUGUGAAAUUGUGGUGGAGAAAAAAAAAAGAAAGUAAUGGGAGAGAUUAUUAUGGAUAUGAUACUGCCAUGUUUCUUUGAUGGAUGGAAACUGAAAAGGAAAGAGUCCCACACUGUGCUUUCAUAAAUUAAUUUACUUUAAAAUAUUCGUUCACAUGGCACCCUUUGAAAAUUUGAAUAAUCAUUGUUCCUUUCAAAAAUAUUUUUCAUAUUAUAAAUAUUUAUUAGAUGGAUGUUCGUUAUACUACACUUUAUUGUCAUACUUCAACCAUCUACACUAUCAUAUGUCAUGAAGAUAUCAAUUUUUAGUGACAAUGUAAUCUAGCUCAUACUUGUCAAAUUGUCUAUAAAUAACAUAUUUUUCUUUUGCAUAUUAAGAAUAUGAUAAUUAAUUAAUAAUAUCAAACGACUAUCAAUAAUCAAACAGCUACAAAGGAUUAUCAGAAGAUCAUUGGAGAAUUACAACUUUUAAAUUUGUUACUUUACAAUUUAAAAAAUUUUGUGACAAAAACCCUAUUAUCAUAAAUUCGUUUGCUAUUUUUACAAACGAUUUAUUGUACCAAUAAUAUAAUCUUCAAUAAUAUUUCAUGUAUUAUAAACAUUAUAAAAUUCAAGCAUGUGUGUGCAAUAAAUCUAAAAAUUACUACUUUCUAACAUAAAAUUAAAUACUUAAUCUAACCUAAAAUCAACUUUCUAAUCGUUUAUAUGAAAAUUUAAAUAAAUAAAAAAAAUUAUGUAGAACACAAAUAUAAAAUAAUAUUUAUUACAUGAUAUCAUCACCUAAAAGAGUAACUAAAUACAGUUAUAUUAAGAGAAAAGAUUUUACCCAAAACAAAAGCUCCAUGUUCAAAAUAUAUGUAGUCUAUAACCAAAUAACAAAAACAUAAACAAAAAAACAAAAAGUAUAGUUUCAUGUUUAGAGAAAUCACCACCUUCAUUGUUCAUCUUUCUGUUCCUUGUGUUGAAUAUUUGGGAUCUUCUUCCUCAUAACGACUUUGUUCUUUCAUUUUAUGUUGAAUCCUUCACAAAUAUUUGGCAUCUGUGGUUCCUCAACCUCAAACUCUUCACAGCUCUCUCUCUUGGUUCCAUGAUUUGCUAAGCAGUUCUUCCAAACGACAAAAAGUUAUGUCCUCAAUCCCGACUUACUUUUUUCCUCGUUUCUCAACUGCUCUUAGCUUCCUUGCCAUGCUCAAACAAUACAGAAGAUAGAAUCUGAAGAGCUUUCAUUAAGAAGAUGAAAGAAAACAAAGGCAUACAAAAAAAUCGUCUUCGAGACUGACUAUGCACUAGAGCAAAAUAUAAGCAAUCCUACUAUUUCAAUCCCUAUCAAUUACCAAAUAGGCCUCAAUCACCACCAUAUUUCUAGAAAGCAAGCAUAAGAUUUGAAAUUCUUCUGCAAGUUUAUUUAUGUCACCAUUUCCUAUAUGAAUGUUGCUUUUGGAGGAGUGGUUGAGUGGUAACAAGUAUUACGGUGGGAAUAUGUAUGUUGGUGUAGCUUUGUGAAUGAACAAGCCUGACCAAAGUAUCCUUCAGCCAUGAGCGUUUAUCACGUCCUGCAAAUUCUUUGGAUAGCACAUUGUUGUGUGGAGACCAUUCCACACGUUAUCUGCAAGAAUAGCAUUCACUGCAUCCGUUGGAUGAAAUUGAUCCCACCAAAUAUGAUUAGAAGCAUUUUUACAUGCCAUAAUUGGUGAGAUGCACAUGAUCCAUCCAUUGUAACGACCAAACCCACAACAAGCAUUCGAUGUUACAUUGAAACCUAGAUGGAAAAGAGACUAACACAAUGAGACAAACAAAUGUGGAUCAUGGUGAGGAGAGUAAAAAAGAAGUUAGAUUGUCAUUCACCAUAAUAUUCAUGAUUCUUCAAGAUAUCCAUUGAACCUUGAAGCAAAUCACAGAAGAUUAUAUUCGAAUCGGGCAACUCCAUGCCGAGCUCCUCGACCACAUAUCUCAUGGCAAAGUUGAACUCCAUAACCAUAUCAUUUAUCUCCUCAAUACAGGCCCCAUUCUCACUACGGUACUGCCAUAAGUAGAAAGGAGCACAACCAAUAGGUGCCAAUCCCAUUACAACGAUUCUCCUAGCAUUCAUGUUAUACAAAUUCUGGACCAUCAACAGAGAGUCUUUUAGAAAGUUCUUAAACAAUUGAUAAAUUAACAUAGUGUGAAUAAAUGAAACUCCUAUACAGGGCUUACAACGUAUGGUUGGUUCCCGAUAUCUAAAAUAAUCCAAAAGCUCAAAUUUUGGAAAAUGAAAAUAUAUGCACAAUAACAAUAUCCUGAAGGCAAAAAUAUGGCAUAUAUAAUGGGUAAUGUAUGUAUAUACUUCUUUCUAUUAUGUGUAGCAAGAACUAUAUACAAUAAAAUCACCUUGAUUUCCUGUCUGAUUGUGACUGCAAGAAAUUGGUUAAAAUUCCAUGGAGGGUAAAGAUUUUGAACAUUAGAUAUAUUAAACAGAUAGUAAUGAAUGUAAUCGUUGAUUCCAAUUGAUAUGUAAAAGACUGAAUUGGAAAUGUGAUCGGCAGCAGCCUUCUCGCCCAUAUUUAGAACAAACUGCUGAAAAGUGUCCAUAAAUUGCUGAAUUUGUUGUGUAAAGGAGAUGUGUUGGCCCUGUUACAUAUAACAUUUCAGAAAGAAAAUUGACAUGCAAGAAAUCAUAAUACUAAGUUAAAAGAACAACGAUCGUAUCUACCAUUCUAAAUCAACCCAAGAUUACUUGAUACGUUAUGAAACUCCGUUUUACUUCCAUGAAUAUAUUAAUUUAUAACAGAACAUUAAAUUGCUAAAAGAAAUAGAAAUCAAUUUGCAUAUUUCUUGAUGAUUUUCUUUUAAUCAAUGAAUAAAACCGACGGAAAUUAAUGAAAGAAAAGAAGUACCAAUUCGGAUCCACUAGUGAAGAUAACUCCAGCACUAGCCGAUGCGUAAUUCACUCCUUGGAUCAUAUCUUCCACUGCUCCAACAUGUCCAAGAUAACUUGGAACAAAAGGAAGUCCAAGACGUAGGGCUGAGAAGAACAUCCAGAAACAAAAACAAGAAAUCAAACCUAAGAGAACGUUUAAAGAAAUCAUAAGAUAUCCAGAAAGAAGAGCAAAAAGAAUCAAGAAACAAAAAAAGAAGAAGAAAGAAUACCAAGAAAAUCGACGGGAAUUCUUCCAUUAGAGAACCUUCCAGUGGGAGUAUGCGUGUCGAAAUCUCGACCAUAGGGAAGAUGAUCGGCGCGGGCGAAGGUUCCGAGGAAAUUAUUGGUGCCGGAGUCGACGGUGGAGUCACCGAUGACGAAAAGGGCGGGAACAAGAGAGUUGGAGGGCGGAGGAGGGAGGGGUGGAGGAAUGGGAAAAGAAGAAUUUGGAAUGGUUGUGAAACCGUAAUUAGGAGUCGGAGGCAAAGGAUUGGGAUGAGGUGCAGGGUUUGGGAGAGGUGCUGUUGAUUGGAGAAAAACGGAGGAAAUGAGGAUGAAGAAUAGGGAAAUUAGGAGGCUAAGCGCCAUUAGUUUUAGAUUCGAAGGGAAAGAUUGUGAUUGUGAUUGUUAUUGAAGAAGGCGGGAAAAUCACGGCUUCAACUCUUCCUCAAACUCUUACCUUUCUAAUUUCUAAACUAUGUUAUGUUAAAUGUAUAAAUGUCCCUAAAAGAUUUGAAUUUAUAGAGAUAAAAAGAGAAAUUCCCAAAAUUACAUGCUUACACCCCCCAAAGUUUUAUAAAAAUAUGUUUCUUUUACACCCCCUUAGUUUUAAAAAGUUUUCUUAAUUCAUUUUUGUCUCUUAGUUUUUAAAAUGUAACUUUUUAGUCUUCAAUCUUUUAAAAUCUUCAUUCGAACUAUAUGAAAUCGUUGUAUGAUGUUCAACCAUAAAAAACACGAAACCCUAAGAAUAUCUGUGGCAUUGAGUUUCAGUGAAGAAGGUGUAUAAACCCGUCAUCGUCGUAAGAAGGUGAAGUAUGGAAAAUAUGGUCAACUCUGGAGUUGGGAAGAUGAAAUGCACUAGCUAGCGAUGGAGAUGAUGGUGGGCUAAAUGAUCUUUGGUAACUGUGGAGUUGGGAAGAUGAUGGUGGCCCACAAUGAAAAAUAGCAAAAAUGUUGAUGGUGGCCCACAAUGAAAAAUAGCAAAAAUGUUCAAGUCAAUGCGCGAUUAAUUGGCCACUCACGGACGUAACAUAUUUGGUACAUGAUCUUGUACCAAGAUCAUUUAGAUUUGGCUAAAUGUUCGUUAGAUUUAGAUUUUUUUCAAGAUUUUUUGGUAAUCGAUCGUUUAGAUUUUGUUGUUUAGCCAAAUCUAAACAAUUUUUUUCUUCAAGAUUUUUUGGUAUAGAUUGUUUAGAUUUGGACAAUCGUGUUUUGAGCUCCAACGAUUUUUUCAGAUUUUUUCAAGAUCUUUUAUAUUUAGUACACGAUCUUGAACCAAAUAACACUUUUAAAAUCAUAAGAAGGUAAAACCUUUCUAGAGAUCUGUGUGGAAUGUUGGGGUGCCCUGAAGGGUGAAAAUGACUGUGUGGAAGGCUAUUUCCAAUGUUUUGCCUGCCAUGGUCUGGACAACAUUCGCAAGAAAUGAAUUGUUGCUAACCCUCUUUGUUUAUUUUGCAGGACAUGCCUUAUGGAGGUAUAAAUUUAUUAAAAGCAUUUGACUCCCCUCUUUCCCUUUCUUACUCUAUGUUCUUUAUGGUUUAAAGGAUUGUUAGGAUGAGAUCGUGAAAGUGCUGAAUAUUAAAGAUUGGGUUGCUGUAUCCAUCCUUUUAUGGGAUGUUUGGAAUUAUAGAAAUUCUCUCAAGCAUAGUGGAGCAUCUCCAAAGGGCAAUGUUUUGAUGAACAUGUUUGCUCUUCAUGUAGAGAAGUUUAGGGGCGAGGAUGUGGUUGUCUAUGAGCAGUGAUAAGGGAGAGCCUGAGGAGUCAGGUGUCGCCUUUUGCUUGUUUUUGAAAGCUUAAGUUUGAUGCUUCUUGGAGCGAUGCUAAGAGGUCGGUGGCUUUAACUAAGUCAUUUGUGACUCUAUUGGAUCUCUCAUCCUAGCUAGCUGUGAAAAGAUUAGUGUCAAGUGGCCUAUCAAAGUGCUUAAGGCUCUUGGUUUGGUUAGAAGUUUGUCUGUUGUGUUAGCCUUUUUUGGGUCAUGGGUUUUCCCCCAUGUGCAGGUGGAAUAUUAUUGUACGAAUCUCAUUAAUGUCAUUAAUUGUUAGUCUUUGGUGUUGAUUGAGUUGUGAGGUGGUUGAGUUGGGAAAGAUUGCCACGGGUGGAUUUUUUUGGUCGGUGCACUUGCUCGACAAAUGAAAUCGCUCAUUGUUUGGCUUGUGCCGUAUUGUUUAAGGGGGACUGGAUGGUUUUUUUUUUUUUUCUAUCUCUUCUUCCUCUAGAGAAGAAGUUAGGUCCUUUCGUUAUAUUCCAAAUAUUUUCUCCUCCAUUUUUAGGGAGGAGGUGUGAUUUUGGCUAAUUUCUUGUGAAUGAAUUUCACGUUAAAAGAAAAAUUCCUUUCUAGAAUUAUUUUUCGUUCAUGAUUAUUAAUUUUUUUGUAGAUUUUUCUUAAAUGUUAAAAUCAUUUGAAAAUUUAUUAUUUAACAUAAAAUUCUUGAAUUUCAUUAGAAAAAUAAAUAAUAUCUCAUGAGAGUAUUAAUUAAAUGUUGUUAUAAUAUAUAAAUCUAUAUUUAAAAUAGAAAAUUGAGGGUGUGGUCAAGCGAGACACAUAUUUAUAACCUACGGUAUACUCAUAUACCUAUGUAUAAAAUAGAAUAUUAUAGAAGUUUUUUCGAAAAUAGAAAAAAAUAUUAUUUAUACUCCAUAAGAAAAAGCCACUAAAAAAUAAUAUCUCAGAAACUUUUAAAAAUAGAAAAAUUGACAAACGAAUUUAGGACGCAUAGUAAAAUUUUAAUCCAAGCUCAAAAUGGAUAACUAAAUUUUAACCCAAUACCAAAGCAUUCGUGUUUUUUUCCUAUAGGUUGUAAAUACUUUCAAUUUUCUUCUAUUAAUAUAAAUUCCAUAAGAUUUUUCAACGAAGGGUUUGACCAUUUUUUAAAAAUAUUCUAAUUUUGUUCUCCUUCUAUUUAAAUCAAAUCUAGACGAGUGUGUAUAAAUAUUCGUGUAUAAAAAAACACUCAAAUCUAAGCUAUUGUCUAGCAAAGAAUCUUAAAAAAAUCUAUCAUGUGACAAAAUAGUCUAAAUGAUCUCGAUGACAAUUAAUCACGAGUAUUCUUUUUUAAUUUUUGAUCGUGGGUGGUAAGCUUUUUGCUGCUUAUUUAUAUUUUUUUUAAAAGAAUCCAAUAAUUUAUUUAUUUUGACAAUUUGGGUAGAAUAUAUUUUAAAUGUGUAGACGUAAAUAAACAAAUGUGGUUUGGUGUUCCAAAUUAUAUGACUACGAAAUAACAACAAACAUUUUUCAAAAGGAUAAUUAUAAUUGAACUAUCUACCCCUAAUGUUUUCUUUAUUUGGGAAACUAACUCAUUAGAUUCACCUCCAACAUUUCAACCUAUUGCCCUACCGACGGAGAGGAUCAAUAGCCAAAAAUGGCCGGUUUGCUCUCAUGGGCAGCGGACGUCGUCGCCGGCGGCGGCGGCGGCGCCAACCACAACGACGAACGUACCACUUCCAUUCCCCUAAUUUUUACUCCCGACCAGCAGAAUUACGUUCGAGAAUUGAAUCAGAAAGCAGCUUCUCUCAGCCGCUCGGUCCGCGAUCUGCGCCUUCGAUUGCCUCCUCCCGACAUCUCCCAACGCCUUCCCCAUCUUCAUGCUCACUCUCUUGCUUCAACGGCCGAUCUUACUCUUCAAUUGAACGCCCACUCUUCCACACGAGAACAGGUUAGCCUUCUACAUUCUAAAUAUUACUUUGCCAGUAUACGUUUAACGAUCUCGGACUUUCAUUCGUGUUUGUUACUGUUCUCCACAACUCUAACUGCGAUUCGUGUUUGUCAAUUGUUCACCAUAGAUGCUGCAUUGUUGAAUAUUUGUUAUUGUUCUGUUUCGAGAUCAUUACAAAAUAGUUUAAUUUCGGUGGAAUUUAUUCUUAGCUCGAUUUUGACAAAAUAGUUUAACUUCUUCAAGGGGAGAUGUAUGCUGAUUUUUGGUGAGAGAUUCGGAGGAUUGAGAAAAGAGUUAUGCCACCGUUGCUAUUUAUAGAGUGAAAUUAGAUUAGAUUAACCAAUACAAUAAGGUUUGAUGAACUUUUGCCGAUGGUAUGAGGUUUGGCAAGUUUGUGCUUCUAUAGGAGUUAAAACUGGUAUUUAGAGAUCGCUGGCAGAUUUUGGAAACAAAUAUUAAACUUUCUGUACCAUGUAUGUGGAAUAAUUCUAUUGCUUUACACUGAUUGGUUGGAGAAACGAUUUAGUUAUACCCCAGAAAUGUUCUUGGUUGCCUUGUGUUUUCCUUGGUACGUUUAUUUUGUCGAAAAACAGUGCGUUUAAUCAUAUUAUUAUUCUUACUUGAAUGUUCAUAAUGUUUGUCAAGAACCUGUAAUAUUACUUCUGAUAGUUGGCAUCGUUCUCAUUUCCAGGUCCAAUUGAGAGAGAUAUCACUACAGGAAGAAAAUGUUGCAUAUGGAAAGGCCAUUUCAAAUUGUGAAAAUAAAAUACAGGAAAAGAGACAGGAAGCAGAUUUGCUUCUGAGGAAGUUAGAGGUAAUGGUUUAAGAUCCCAACUUCGUGUCAGUUGCUAUUUCUAAGGCUCUAUUUGAUGAAAAUUUCCUUUUUUGUUUUUGGUUUUUGAUAUUUGUGCCGGUUGUUUCUCUCCUAAUUUUGAUUUUUCAAGUAAAAGAAUCACUUCAAUUCCUAGUCAAAUUCUAAAAACAUAAACUAUAGUUCUCGAAACUUAGCUUCGUUUUAGUGAAAAACUUAGGUGUGAAGUAGCCUUUAUAAGCUUAAUUUUCAAAACCUAAAAUUAAGUACCACAUUGGUGUUCUGUUUGACCAUAAAUAUUCAUUUCUCCUUUCAAAUGGAUAUUACGUUAAUCCAGCAUUAUGGAAGAGUUGGAAAUGCAUUUACAUGGCGUUAUUAACAUGAUAUAAAAGAAUUCAUCAAAUUGUUGGAUAGUUCAAGCUCCUACCAAUAUAUAUUUUUUAAAAUUGUUCUUUGUUAAUUUAUACUACAGGAGUUAGAAGAAACCACCAAGAAUCUGGAAGUUGAGCUAGAAAACGCACAAGCUGCUCUGGAAAAUGAUGAAUCAAUCAACUUCGGAAAAUUGACAUCCAAACCUUCGAAAGUUGAAGCAGAACAAGAUAUGGAAUUAUCAAAGUCUGCGUUGCUAGACAAACUAGAGAUCAAGAAACAAGAACUGGUUUGCUGCCUUAUUUUGAUUUUAAUAGUUUUUUUCCUUUUCCUUUUCCUUUUCCUUUUAUCUCUCUUCUCCGCAUUUCCUAAUAGUUAUUGCUGACAAAGUUUGGUUAUUCUUCUAGAGUUCAAUGGAAGACACAGUUAAAGAAUUAGAAAAAAACUGGGCAGAAAUUCAGGAUAAAGCUCUAAAACAGCCUUCACCAGGUAUUUUCAAUUGGUCACAAUUGUUCUCCUUAUUCCUUUUUCAAAGACUUGAUAUCAAAGACUUUUGCAGUUCAGAGAGAGAAAAUGUUAGACAAACAACUCCAUAGCCUCAUGGAGCAACUAGCUGUAAAACAGGUGAAUCUUACAUUUCUGAAGUUGAAUGCUUAAACUUUCGAUUCAAAUAAUAAAAUCAAUUCCAAGUAUUUCCCUGUUUGUAGGCACAAGCCGAAGGUUUGGCAAGUGACAUUCAUCUGAAGGAGAUGGAGCUGGAAAAACUAAAAACAUCAUCAAGGAGGCUGCAAAGUAGCAGCUCCGAGGCUAAUAUUGCUCGUAAUCGUUUUGGAAAAAGCAUGUCCGACAAGAAUUUUCAAGACCUCUUAGCUGACUCGCACCACAGACUACCUUAUCGCAGUGGUGGUCGGAGUGAAAAUCAACAGAGACUGAUGCUAUUCCGUUCUGCUUUCGUGGUCUACAUUUUAGCUCUACAUAUAUUGGUUUUCAUCAAAAUUUCAUUCUGAACAACCACAUAUAUUCAUCAGUAUUUUAUUUGUAUGUAAUAACUAAUUAGAUAUAUAGAAACUCGGAUACCAAGUAGAACACCAAUAAAGUGAUCAAAUAUAUGUAAACAAAUCAUCCUUUUGAAUUCUCUCCAAGAACUGAAUAGAUGGCAAACUUGUGUUGAUUGUGUUUAUUGGCAUUCAUUCUUUCAUUUAAUAGGUGGAGCAAUACAGAUGAAGAGCUGUGGUUGUAAAAAAGAAAAAGAAAAAGUAAUAAUAAUAAUAACUAUUAUAAUUAUAAAGAAUAAAAACCAAAAACCAAAAACCAAAACAAACAAGACAAAACAAAAUGCAGUUGGAAGAACUUUCAUCUUUGAUUCAAUUCUGUUUGAAGAGCAAACUGAACUCUCUCUUGAGCUGAUCGGAUGCCUUCCAUUUUCAACAUAUGAAGCAAGAAAUCACUCCAAAUAUCAAUAGGGCCAGGCAAGCACCAAUGAAUACAAUCAUUAUUCAAAUUCUCAUUCCCUUGAGGCCAAUGACUAUAUUUACUUGGAUGGCCAUCUGGUCUCAACCACAUUGCUUGUGUUGUAUCAAGCAAUCUCAACUUAAAUCCUUUCUUUCUCCCUUCUCUUUCAGCUCUUCUAAACUCCUCCAUUUGAGUCAUAUAAAGCUCCAGAUUCAUACCUUCUAAUGCUGUGUUUUUGCUCUUGAAUGGCUCUGUUCUCAAACAAUUCCCACCUUGAUUCCACAGCCCAUUUUCAAAGUGUGAUGGUGAGAAAGUUCUCAUGUAAGUGAUGCCUUUGUAGUUCUCUGAGUUCAGAAUGGCUUUGAAGGCCGUUCUGAAGGCCUUUCUGUACCCAUGGUAGAUUCCUAACUCGGUUACAUUGUUGAGAAAGCAGUCGUGGCAGCCGGUGACUUGGCCGUUUUCAUAGUAAAACAUAGGAUGGAGAAACCAUUGGCCGGAUGAGAUCAUCAAGUAAUCGAAUCCAGCUAUAUGGGAAGUCCAUGCUUCAUCAUACUCGUCUAAAUAUAGAUUGAAGACACCUCCUGUUGUUAACUCUUUUGAUUUUACUAGAUGGGUUGUCCACAGAAAGGCCACUGUGAAGUUAUAGUUCAUGUAUUUCCAUUUCUUGAAGUGUUCGCCUCGGCUAGGUGAAACAUCUAUUGGAUACUCGAGCUGAGAAUCAACAAAUAAAGAAUGAGGUGUAAAGAAUAAAGUAAAUUACACAGAAAGUGGAAGUUUGAAGGCUUUAUGACUAUUUAGAAGCUACGCUGUUUCGAAAUAGUUUUCUGCUUUUUCAGAACAAAAUCUAAUGAAACAUACUUGAAUGACAAGUCCCCCCCCCCCCCCCCCCCCCCCCCCCCAUUUCUUUUUAAAAACCACUAAGUUGGUUUUCCUUGAACAAUAAUAAAACAACUUGAUCUCUACUUCUUUUUCUAGUACAACAACAAUUGGGGGUUCGUUCCUUCUUAAAAGCUUCAAUUUUACUCCCAAUCCAUCUGAUAUAUAUAAUCCUAAAGUUGCUUAUUAAUUGAAAAUUUUAAAAUGCAUGUGACAUGAGCAUUUAUGUAAUUUAGUUAGUUUAUACAACUUUAAUAAAUUUCCUUUAAACAAACUUUCAUGAGUUUCAAUUACAAUUGAAUUGCAUUGUUUUUAUUUUCUUGUAGCUGUAGCAUACAAGUAAAACUCAAUGGCAUUUUGCCUUCAACAUACUUUUUAAAAAUCAUUGGAAAAAAAACCUACUCAUUAAAAAUAUUUUCAGAAUAAAAGUACAAAAUUGAUUUCCAAAACAUUUUUCUUUUCUUUCUUUUCAAGUGCUAAAGACAGGAGAAUAGCAUAACCAAAUAAAGAAGAAUAGCAUAACUGACAUAUGUAUGUAUCGUAAUGUUUGUGAUUCAAAUUUCUCAUCCUCUAUUGAAUAAAAAACAGGUUUUUUUUCAUAACAUGUAUAACAGCAGAUUAAAAUUGAUUUAGUAUUAGAUACAUUACAUCAUGAAAAUAAAAACGGUGCUAAAUUUCUAAUUUCUCCUAAUUGUAUUGGGAAUGUUUUAAAUCCAUAAGUUAUAGUUAAAUACAACUCUAAAAGUACUAAACAAUACUCAUUGAAAACACAAUAAACAUAUUUUAUUUAUAAGUAAUUAACAUUUGGUUAAUUAAGAAAUAUAGUGGAAUCCCCCAGUGUCAUUGUUCUCAGCAAAGAUUCUCAUAAUAUUAAAACCAUUAUCUAGAUCAAUAUCACAUGGGUGUGUUUCAUGGGUUUUCUUUAGAAAAUAAAUAUUAGAAGAGAAGAAAUGUUCAAGGGAUUAAUUCAUUUUUCUAUAAUUGUCACAAAAAAAAAAAAAAAGGCAUUGUUAUAUGCACAUUUUUUGUUUUAUACAUUAGUGCCUUAAGUUUUUUUAAACUUUAAAUUGUACCAUUACUAAGUCAAACUAGAAAAAUAUCAAAUAGAUGUUUAAACAAUAAAAUUGAUUGUUAUUUAGUAAAUCUUUAAACCUUAAAAAAUAUAUCAUAAAUAGUUGAUCUAUUAGAUGGAAAUUAAAAUUUUGAAAACCAAUAGGAUAAAAAAUUAAAAUUUUAUUACACCCAUUAGAUACAAUUAGGCAGAUUUAUUAGAUAAUUUUUAAAGAAUUUAAUAGACAUUGAAAUAGUACGUAAAAAAGAUCAGAAUUUUAGAGAUCAAAUUUAUAAAUUAACUAAUAAAUACAUUGAAAUUUGAUUCAUAAUUAUUUCACAUAAGGUUGUUGACCUGCCAUAACCAAACCCACAUAAAAAUAUAUAUACUUUUUCUUUUAUAUAUAUAAAAAAAAAAGAAUAAAAGUAAAAGAAAGAAAAGGGAGAGGGGGUUUAAAUGAAUAAAUGGUGCAAUGUGACUUACCCCACACUCAAAGAUACUAAAACAAAAUAUUCCAUAUAGAGACUUUCAAUUCAUUCAAUUUCUAUUACUUCUCCAUUGUACCAUCAAACCUAUGAACACAAAUUUUUUUAUCUAAAUACGGAAUACCAACAAUAAUUUCCACACUAAGAGGCCUCUAAUUAAACCAAGCUUUAAAGUAUAAGGCACACACACACAAAAAGAAAAAGAAAAACUUCAAAAACAACAACAAAUAGUUUAGUCAUUAAACUUAAACAAACUAUAAUUGAACUAAAAGACUGUGAAUUUAUUAUAAAAAAAAAAACUCAAAGUAAAGAAAAUCCACCGCAAUCAAACAAAGCCUUAUCACAUGAUUCACAACACAAAGUCCCUACAUGAAUUCUUUAAUUUUGUUAAAAUAAAUAAAGAAGCAUAAAUAUGAAAAUAUAGAAAGCAAUAUGGAAAGUGAGGAGAUAAAAAAUGAGGAACGAAAUUAGUAAAAAAAAAAAAGAAGAAGAAGAAGAAGCUAAAGUAAUGAUAAAAAUGGUACAGCCGACAAUGGCGGAGUAAGAAAAGCAAAUAAAUAAAAGAAAAAGAGAGUGAAAAAGGGUGAAAUAAUUAACCUUGGAGAGGAGGCAGAUGAGAGACUGAACGUGAUUUCUGGCAAUAUUAUCCCCAACAAACGCAAACGCCUUAUGCCUCAUCAGUUCCAAAAACUGCGCCGGAUUAAACGAAGGAAGCUCACACCCGUCGGGCCUCCACCUCCAGCGCAGAAACCCACCGUCUGGCCUCCCGUACUUGAGGCAAUUGAGGUGGUCGUGAAUCGCCCAGCAGCUAUCGUUGGUGUAGGGGAGGGGCGCUUUGGGGUUAGAAUUAGGGAUCCAAUCCCCGAUAGCGAGAUCGCAAGGGAGGGCGGAGAGGAGGGAGAGAUUUCCAGAGGAGAAGAUCUGGGGGCGGAAGGCGGCGGAGGCGGCGGAGGCAGGAGAUUCGAGAGAGGUUUUGAGGAGUAGGAGGGAGUAAUUGAGGAGAGGGAAAGAGAGAGGGAUGGUGGUGAGGAUCAAUAGAGCUAAUGCUCCACCGAGAAUGGGCAUUAGGGUUCUGAAUUGGCCAUUUUUGCAAGGGCGGAGGUCGGUGGUGGUUGCUUGGCUUUGGAGCAUCAUUGGAGAGAGAAAGAAGAUGGAAGGAGAAAAAGGGGAAGUGAAAUUUUGCUUCUUUUAAUUAAAAUAUAAACAGACAGAAAAUGAUUUUAUUUAAUUAUAAAUAUGUAAAUAAAGGAAGUGUGUGUGAAAGACUGAAAGUAUAGUAAGGGCGUGUAGAUUAGUGGAAUAACGCAGGGAGUAUGGAAGUAGUAGGUCAGUUUGUAUCAAUUUUAUUCAAACUUUAUAUCCAUUUAAUUAUUCAAUUUACAAUUAUAAAGCUAUGAAUAAUUGGUAUUUAAAUUAGGAUUUAUGAUUUAUGGGGAGAGGUGGGUUUGAGUGAGUUUGAAGUUUGUGUUCAUAUUUAUUGUUAAACCUUUUUUAAAAGAUUCCUACAUAUAGUUGUACAUGCAACACUUUCACAUAUAAUGUACUCAUUAUUUAUAUAUUACAUCAACCAAAAAGCAGAAAAGUAGAAAAUGAUUCUGAAUUUUUAUUUUAAUUCUCUUUUGGUUUCACAAUAGAAUGUAGUAAAAGAGAAUAGUAGAUAGGAAGACUAAAAAUCCUCACUACACAACCUACCCCUACACCAUCUCCAACCUCCAACUUCCUAUGCCAAUCAAUAAUCUUCAUCUAACUUAAAUAAAUAAUCCCCCUUUUCUCUCCAAUUUCAUCAUUAUAAUUAACAAUUUCUUUUUAUUUUUACUUUUAACUAUGUAUUUAAUUAUGUUUUUUUUUUCUGCUUUAUCACUUAAGUAAAUUCAUAAAACCAUUUUGUUAAAUACAAAAAGGUAAAAUAUUCAUAAAAAGGUAUUUGAAUUGAAGUGUCGGUGAUGAGUUUAGGUCGUUGAGGAAGAUGAUUUUCCAUAGGAAUUGUUCUCUUUUUCUUUUUCUUUUCAAUUUUAACCAUCUUGGAAUAUAAUUUUCUUUUUUUUUUUACUGCUAUAGACAUGGUAAAUGUGUUUGUGGUCAUUCAUUGUGAUUUGUGAACUUACGUCUAAAUAAUUGAGAUUCAAAUGUUGUUAAAAGAACAAAGACCCCACUCGUCGUCACUUCUCCCACCAAAUUUAAGUGACAUUUCAUACGAUGCGACUAACUUUAGCCAUUACUACAACCCCACUUCAUACACUCUUUUAAUGUUUUUCUUUUAUAUUAAUCAACAUUAAUAGAGAAACUUUAAUUACACAACCAAUCUAAUUUGUUUAUGAAAACAUUUUAGAAAAUGUGUGUUUUUAUUUUAAAUAUUUUUUAUAAAAUUAAAAAAGAAGUGUAUAUAUAUAUUUCUAGUCCAUAUGAACAAUGUCUAAUAUAUAUAUAUAUAGCUUCUUUCAUGAGUCUCAUCCAAGUUUAAUUAAUUCAAGUUAUGGAAGAAGAAAAAAGUCAUCCAUACAAAUUAAAUUGGACAGUACUAUAAAAAAAAAAAUACUCCAAUAAUUUUACAACCGUUUACAGAGUAGAAUUAAAGAAUUUGUUGCUUUGUACAAAUCCAUAUAUGAAGUUUUAUCUAUUCACACACCACAACUGGUAUAACUCUACAAAUUAUAUAACCAAUUUGGCACCUCAAACACCUUAAGAUUUAAAAUCUCAAAUUUAAUGAGACGUCAAGUUGAAAUUUUGAAAUCAGAAAUUAAUUUUUUUGUGGAGUUUAGACGUACGAAUUUUGGAUGUCGAGAUAUUUAGUAUGAAGUUAGAAAGUAUGUGUUUUGAAAUCCCCACCUCAUCCUUGAUAGUUGACAUGUUUAGAUUUUUUAAAAAGAAAGUUACAUUUUUAGUCACCAAAUUUUGAAAAACGUAUGUGUUUUGGUUUAUGAGUUUUAAAAAUGUACCUUUUUAGUUCUCGUGUUUAUAGAAACAGACACAUUUUGUCUCCAAAUUUUCAAAAUAUACCUUUUAGUUCUUCCGUUUUUAAAGUUAGGUUAAAAAAGUAUCUCAAACAACUUUAUAUUUUUAUAUUAAGUAUUACAUGACAUUCUAAAUUAGAAAAAUAAUUUCCAAAAUUCAUAUCCUUUCUAUUUUUUAAUUUUUUUAAAAGUGUUAUACAAUUAUUUAAAAAAAAAAUCAAACAAAAAAUACUUAUAAAAUCUUUUAAAUUUAUUUAAAAAAAUUAGACUAAAAAUGUGUUUUGAAUAAGAAAUUUUGAGACCAAUCACAAAUUGUCACAUUAUUUAUUAAAUUAAUGAUGAAAAUUGCAAAUAAUUAAAUUUGUGACUAAUUAAAAUUGACAUGUGUUCCAAAUUAAAAAAAUAAAAACAUAAAUUGGUUCAUUCUAAUAAUACCUCAUGUUUUUGUCAUAACCCUUGGAUCAAGUUAAUUGUUUUGAUUCAAUAAAAUAUUAUUUAUUUGGACUAAGUUCAAUUAAACCAAAAAAAUAAGUUUACUUGAGCCGCCCGAAGGCUAAAUAUAACUUAAAUAAAUGUGGCUAAGCCCAUGAGUCUGGUCCAUGAACCAACCAGACACAAGCUCAUAAAGUCCACUAGAUAACUCUAUAAAUAGAAGAGUUCUCCUCAUUUGUAAAGGGGUUGGAAAUUUUUUACUUAAGAAGUCCAGAUAAGACUCCCUAACUCUUGAAGUCGACCAUCUUCGAAUAUUGAAGCUUAUCUUUCAAGACUCCAACUUCUACAAGCUUUCUUCUAAGACUCCAAUUUUCCUCGAAGAUUGAAGCUUUUUUGAAGAUACAAAGCUUGAUUGAAGCUUCUUUGAAUUUGAAGAUACAAAACUUUCUUCCAAGACUCCAACUUCAAGAAUAUUCGUGCUUUGCUUCCUCAAAUCAAGCAUAAGGAUCCAAUCGAGAGAGAAUCAGAUGAUCAAAUUCUAGAAAUCAAAUCGCAUCGCAUCAAAUCAACAAGAUACAACAUCAACACCACGAACCAAAUUUCUCCAAAAAUCUCGUGCGAACAAUGUGUUUGUAAAACUAUGACAAAACACACAUUUUGAUUGAAACUUGAAAACUAAGAAGUAUUAAAUAAUUAUAUGAUCAUUCUAAUUUGGAAUAAGAAUUUCUAAAAAUCAUAUCAUUUCUAUUUUUUUAAUUUUAAAUUCAUAUAAUUAUUUUUUAAAAAUAAAAAAAUAAUUAUAAAACCUUUUAAACCUACUUUAAAAUUUUAGACUAAAAACGUGUUUUUAAAACGGGGACAAAACACACAUUUUCAUUAAAACUUAGAAAGUAAAAAGAUAAUUUAAAUACAAUUUAAAAAUAGCAGCCUUUAAAAAUAACAAAAUAAAUUAAAAUACUUACAAGCUAUAGCAAAAUUUUAAAUUCUAUCAAUGAUAAUUUUCUAUCACUACAGUAUAUCAAUGACCAUCGGUAAUAAAAUUUGAUAUAAGAUGCAAAUAUUUUGUAAAAUUUGUUAUUUUUUAAAAUAUCCCUGCAAAUAAAUAAAUAUAUUAACCAUAUUUUAUAUUUGCAGAAAUUUAAAAAUUAUUUUUUAAGAAAAAUGGUCAAAAAUUAGAAAAUGGUCAAAAAUGAUAAAAUGGACGCACUAUUUAUAGUUGAAAGUAAAAAGUAAAAUCAAGGGUAACGAUUCUUUUCCUUCACUGAUUUGUCCUCAAUUUUGUAUUUUUUUUAUUGUUCUUCCUUCUGAAUAUAAUUUUUCAAAAUUUCUUCUUCUGUAAUUUAAUAUAGUAUUAAUUUUCUUUUUUUGGUACAGUAUUAAUUUUCUUUUUUUGGAGAAUUGUAGCAAAUUCUAUGACAAACAUAGUGAUAGAAUCCAAAAUUUUGUUAUCUUGUAAAUAUUUUAAUUUAUUUUAUUAUUUAAAAAAUGCUCAUAUUUGUUCCCUAAAAAAACCUAGUUCUGUAUAUUUUUCUUCCGUAGAUUAACUUAUUAAGUUUUCUAUUUUUUUUUGGUUAUAAAAUGCUUGUUUCUAUAUUAAAAAACAUUUAAUAUUAAUAAGGGUAAUAAUAGCAUUUUUUGAAAAUUAAUUUUUUAAUUCUAAGAAGUGGGGUUUUUUUAAAAAAAUAUUUGGGGAUCCAUUUCCCCAAUUUUCCAAAGGGGAAUCUAUCCCCCAACCUCCAUUCGCACCAAAUAGGUGAGGUUGGGGAUUGAUUUUCCCUGCAGGGAGUGAGAAAGGGAAUGUACCCCAGGCCCUACCCACCUUGUUCCCAACCUUACUCAAUUGACAUGUUGACAACACAUUUUACUUCGAAAAUAAGUUCGGUGCUACAAGGUUAAUACGUGAGUUUUAUAUCACAUGUUGCAUCAGCAUUCAUCCCUGCAUCAGCAUCAGUACUAGAAGAGAGAUGAUUAUGACUACUACUUCAAGUCCUAAGCAAAUUAUUGAACCAUGUGAAACAUAGCUCUUAGUGAUGACGACAGAGAAUUGGAGGAUGUCCAAGAGACACAGCUUAGUUAACAAUCUACUCAUGCGGACCAAAAGAAUAUACGUUCAAACUACACAAGCCUAGUCAAUAAUCUACCCAUGCGGACCAAAGGAAUAUAUGUUCAAACUACAUCUCCUAUUACAAAUGGUUCAUGAAAAACUAUUUUUCCUUUGUAUUACGGUAACACGUCUUAAUUUAUCAUUUAAUUGAAUAAGAUAUAAUGAGAUUGGGUUUGACGUGUGUUAUUAUAUAUGAAACUAUUAUUAAAAAAAAAAUCAAAACAAAGGAAAUUCUAAUUGACACUUAGAAUCGUCCGAUGAAUGUAUAUAUUGUUGAAAUACCAAGAAGCAUUUGAAUGCUUGAAAUUUUCACAACGUUGUUUCUAUACCGAACAAGCUCAUUGGCUUUUGUUACUAAAAGUUAUCAGAAAAUAGUGGGUGAGUAUUAUAGAUUGCCUUUGUUUUUAGAAAUAAGUAUACUAAUUGACCUGGCAUGUUUUAUAUGUAUAUGAGAUAUAGAAAAUUUCUACUAGAAAAUAACAUAUAGAAAGAGUGAUGCAAGAAACACAAAUCCCCAACCUGUUGCCUCAAUGGGGACGAAGACGGGAAUUAUAUAACCACAUACCCAAUCCACACUCUCCUAACCCCAUCAAUAACCACCCACGACAAUUUGGGAAUCACUUCUUCACAUAUUAGAUAAAGAAAAGAUUCUCAUUCCUAAAGUGAUAACAAGUACAUAGUGAAAAAUACAACCUAAUCUUACUCAAACAGAAACUAUUCUCUAGGUUGUACAAUUGUGUCCUUGAUUCUAAACUACACAAUAAAAGAUCAGGUCAGAGGAAGAUCAUUUUCUAGAGAGUCGACCGCUUGAUUUAUAAUCUUCUUUUACCCCACACCUACCCUUAAAAGGCUUAAACCAAAAGCACAAUUAUGUAUCCCCCUAAAUCCUACUCUCAAGGGGUGCGUUAGAAAAUUGUUUCAGGAAACUAAGAGUAUUCAUGAGUCAUGAUGCUAACGAAAUCCCCUCCCCUCCAUAUGAGAAUAAUGGAUUUGAGAAGGUUGAGAUAGAGGAACGACUGCAAUUCUUGGGUAAGCAACUGUGCCCCAUUGGUUCGAAGAAUCUUUAGUCGGAAUUAUUCUAAACCUUGAUCACCUGUCAACAUAACUAUAUCCCUCGGUCAUGUCCUUAAACCAAAAAUUUCCAACUGAAAAUACCAAAAGGAAAAAUGUAAUCCCAAGACCCUAACAAAACCAAGUCAUGUAUAUGAUAAUCGACUCAAACAAAGGUAUCACACAAAGGCAACUACUUGGUCAUAGUUGAACAAGACUACAUGCAAAGUACAGCCUGCGGACAGAUAAUCAGCCUAACAUUGAGUUAGAACCUACACCACUAACAUCAAGUCUUUGUUCUUUGGUAAAGUGUCUCCUUCAUUAUCUAAAUAUAAGAUCACAUGAAUCCUUAACAAUACAAAAUGGACAAUGUCCUUAGACUCCUUAUAAAAAUCACUCUUUCGGGGGUUGUUAAGUAAACACCCUAUGAAGACUCUCUUUGGUGACAGCUCCAAUAGCUUAUCCCUUAAUUAGACCAUUUGCCAAUGAAUUUUUUAAUCAUUGCCCAUAAAUAAUUAGCUCACUUGAUUUGAAGGAGUAAAUUUGUAAGGUAGGCGUGUGUCACAGGUGGGGCAUGCAUGCCAAUCCCCUGCGCCACCCAUGACAGUGUGGGACUGCUUCCUCUAGGAGUUUGAUUAUAUUUUGGCUCAGUAGAGGGUGGUCGCUAAUUCAACCGACUAGUUCCUUCUCUAUUUGCCUUUUCAGGAGAUGGUCCAAUUGUUGAAGUUAGUGGGGGAGUUUGUUGCGGUAUGGGUUUUGUGGGGUAAGAUUGGUCCUUGGUAAAGUUCCAAGUUUACCUUUACGAUUUGAUUUCGAAGACUUAUUGUCAUUACUAUUUAGGCAACAUUAUAUUUUCUCAAUCGCAUUUCUUUUACUAAUAAUAAUAAUAACGAUAAAGAAACUCACUCAUCAACAGGCAAAGCUUAUAGUUAUAGAUAGUUUCCUGUGAAUUCUUCUUUUCACCCAAUCAGACAUUAUUUGAAGCAAAUAACUUCUCAAAACUAUCCCUACAAAACUUGUCCCAACCAAUAAAAGAAUCUCUCAGCCUAAAUGCAGUACCAAGAUUAAUCAGGAUCAAUCACUUCAUGAACAAAUAGCAUAUGGCUUCUUCUUAAGAUUGUCCAAUAACGUAUAAACAGCAUCAUGAAUAUGGAUUUUUCUUUACAUUUCCCUAUUGUUAUUUCUGGACUAUUCUCCCUAAGAAAAUGUGAAACAUAGCCAAAUGUCCCGUCUUCAACUGAUCAUCAGAUAUGUUAACUCAAAGACAUUUAAAUUAAUUCUGCUACAUGUAAAAUUAUCAAGUAGAAAUAGACUUCAUUAAAUCGUUUCCUUGACUCAAAAAAUCUCAAAAAGGCAAUAACAAAAUGUGGGUGAGAAAACUCCAACAGCAGGAGUAAGAAAAUCACAAGAGGGUUUGAAAGAGAGAUCCUACCUUUAAGUCGCCCUAGGAGUGGCCCACUCAACUCUAAGGAUGAGAUUAUCGUAACCAUAUCCAUUAAGCUUGUUAAUUGAUCUUUGUGCAUCCUCACGAUUCACAAAGUUUACAAAACCAAAUCCUCUGCUCAUGCCAUUCUUUUGAUCAACAGCAACAUAAACUCGGCUAACAGCACCAAAAGGUCGGAAGAGCUCAAGCAAGUCAGGUUCCCUAGUGUCCUCCGAAAGAUUGGUAACACGUACAGAGUUUUCAUCAUUCCUACGCCUCAUGUCAGUUCCAGUCCUCUCCGCCCCUGCUCUCAUACCUGGAGGAACAUACGCUCCCUUUGUUGCACCAGGAGCAGCAGCUGUAGUCUCUGGUGCAACAGGCUUAUCCAAUCCAUCAGCUUGUGGUGCCAGGUCUUUGUAAGGGCACCUUGAGGUCCAGUGGUCACCCUUUUUACCACAAGUUCGACAGACCAUAAGAACAGCUCCCCCUUUUCCAAGUUGAGCUAGCGGGUCACCAGCAACCUUGGGCUCCUCUGGUUUGCUACCUGUAAUCAUUUUCAUUCUUUAAAAGAAAAUUUAUUGUAACAAGGCAAGAAGAUCGAUUAAGGUGAGCAGAAUAGAGUAUCAAAACUGUACAAACAAUAUUUAUGAGCAGCACCCAAGUAAAAUUUCAAACUAAGAAAUCAAAAGAAAGGCCCGGAGAAAUUUCUCCGGCUUAAUAAAUCCUACAGACAUAGGAUACAAAAAGAAAAUGAAAUCAUAAUUUGAAGCACCCAAUUCACAAGACAGCCCUGUAAUUCCCAAAAAGAACACACGCCACAGCAUAGUUCUGCAAGCCUAUCACUCUCUCCACACAAAAGUGAUUCUCUCCCCUCGUUUUGAAUACAAACUAAAAAGGUUUACACAUCUCCAGUAAGCAUGGACCACAGUUUUACAUAGCUCAAUCACCACCGUAACCAUAAGAACAACCUUAUGUCCUCCAGGUCUUGUAAGUGCUUCCUCGACUCCACAAAGAAACAAAUGACAUGCUCUAUAACCAAAUUAUAACAUAAUAGUUGAUACAUAGAAAAAACUACCAAAAUCAAGAUUUAUUGAAAACAAACCAGGAGCACGAGGGCGCUCGAGAAGAAUCUCCUCAGUGGAGACCAUAGUGAGCCGACUGCCGACGUCUUCAUGGACAGCAUCGCCGAACUUUGCCCAAGAACGGCGCUCUACCGCAUGUUUACUAAGGCGAGCAUGGGCGAGCUUGCGUGUACGAGUUGUCGUUGUGAUUUUGACCUUGUUACCAUCUUCGUUAAACUGAUACUCAACAAUUUUCUUCAACCCAUUUUCGUCUGGCCCGAUAAUUUGCUUUGGAGGAAGAAGAAAAUCUAGAUCCCCAUCGUCAUCUUCAAGCUCCCCCCAUCUCAAUUUGGAUGCAUUAGUCUGCUGAACCAUUGCGCAGAAGAUGGAGAGCCCAAAGUGCGAAGGAAAUUUUGGGGGCUAGGGUUACGCUAGGGAAGGAGAACCAAAAGAUGUAGAAGUUGCAAAUUAUAAUUUACAUAAUUUUUUCACAAUCAAUUGUAGGAAACUUAGUUCAAAAUAAUUCAUCCUCCUUUUCACCUUGUGGGUGAAAAUAGAUAAUGCUUUUCUUUUUUUUUAAUCUUCUCAAUUAAGAUUGAUCUCGAGCUUCUUACUUAAUUUGAUAGCCCACAAUUCAUGCACAUAUACAAUAACUUCCACACUUUCCACAUUCUGGCAUUAAGUUCUUGGCUACACAUCGUAGGAAUCUUCGUAUCGUUUUCAUCUUCAUAUGGAAAUCUCUGGUACCUGUCGGACAUAUUCGACCCGACAUUCAUGAAUAUCUUUGCGCGUGCUCCUGUAACAUAAUCUUUUUCGAACAUAUAUCUUGCCCUUCGUUGUAGGAUGACUCUGUUAAAAAUUUCAAAGCAAUUGUUAGUUUUUUUAUUUUAUUACAAGCGAAUGAAUAAUGACUCACACUAAAUUAUUUUCCUACCUUGACCCAACUAUCAAACAAUUCCUUCUCAACGAUUAUGCACUUAACCUCAUCUAUCCAUUUGAACCCACUGCAUGAUAGGCCUCGUAUUUUUGCUAUGGCCUGGAAGGUUGGAAUGUUCUCUCAAGUGUCUCGAUCUGACAGUCAAUAGUAGUGGUCGUUUAGACAGUGCAUCCUGACAACUUUUCCACCAUCAAUCUCACUGGUUGUUCUAGGUAAUUGGGUAUGAAUGUGUCGUUGUCUGACUUCCACCCACCGAUGAAGACUAACUCAACCAAACACUCCACGAGGGUGGACUCCUUCUCUUUAGUCCAUAAAUGUUUGAGGGCUCGUGACGAACUAGCCAUACUGACAAAGGAAGGAAGAAAAAGAAAUCGUAAGCGAAUGAGUUAGAGAAGAAGUAAACACAUGGAACAAAAUAGGUCGUGCGACAUGUCAUGGGUCAUUGUUUCAUUCAUUUCGUGGAUACACACAUACAUUCCACAUAUAAUAAGAUUGGCCAUAUUUAAUAAAUUAAAGUAACGGGGUACCAUUGCUACAUUAUGAGUACUACUGAUUACGCAACUCUCAUUGACUAAACAUCUCUUCGGCUAGAUCAUCUCUCCACUGACUCCAUUUGUUGGAGGUCUCAAUGUAGUGAAUGCCAUCACCUCACUAGAAGAAAUAUGACCUUUAAUGUUGGUUUAAAACUAACAUCAAAACAAAAACGACAUUAAAGGCCUUUAAUAAUGCUAGCAUAGAUGUCGGUUGCCAACAGACCUUUAGCCUCGUUUAAUGUCGUUUUUAAACUGACAUUUUUAUGGUUAUUGAAAAUCUUUAGUGUCGGUUGGCCUUUGAUGUCGUUUUAAAAUCGACAUUAAUGAGACAUUUAAUGUUGUUUUUAAAUCGACAUCAAUGAAUCUCUUUAAUGUCUGUAUUAAAAUGGCAUCAAAGUUUUGUUUGGUUCGUUUUAUAAAAUUGUUUUUUUAAAUUAUUGCAUUAUUGUCCAUUUUUUAUGAUGUUGAAACCGACAUUAUUUGUCACGAAUUACGACAUAAAAUAUUCAUCAUCAAAUAUUAUAAAAUAUAAAAAAAAUCGUUGCACACUUGCUAGCUAUAGAAUGUUUACUACUCCAUGGCAAACCUUAUAAAUUAUUUCUAUUUCGAAGAUCAACACCUACCAAAUCAACAUACACUUUGUUAAGAUAUUUUGGCAAAUAGAUUACAAUCUUUUUCAAGUAAAUAAAAUUGUGUUUAGAGGCUCCUACUAUGAAGGAAUCUUAAUAAGGUUGGUUCCUUAUUUUAUGGAGAAGAGAUCUUUUUUAAAAAUAUAUAUUAAGCGUCGUUCAUGCUCAAGGUUUGGUUGAGCGAAAAACAAGAGAACGACGGUGAAUGGUGUACUGCUAAACUUGCCGAGAAGAGACAGAAAAAGGUGAAGGUCUUCAUGUAUAUUUAUGUCUAAUAUACUCACCGUAGAUUACAGGUUGUUUGAAUAACCUACAAAGAAGAUGAUGUAGUGGAUAGAUUGAUGAGGAAUAUGUCGACAAGAAGACCGCAUACUUGAGGGAUCAAUUCUAAAGCCAGGAGGAGCCUGUACUGGUCUUGGUAGCAUGUCGAUGAGAAGAUCAUGGAGUUGAGGGAUCAACUCUGGAAUUCAGGGGAGCCUAAAUCAUUCUUCAAAGAGAUUCAGGAAUACUUCAGGGGAGCCUGAGUUUAAUAUUUAGUUAUGCUAUGAUUAUUCAAUGUAACCCGUAUGACGAGUUACAUAUUGAGAAUCUCAGUAAUAUUCCUUAUCCGAGUAGAAUUCAAUGGCAAACGAAUAAUAUUUCUAGCUAUAGAAUUCAACAUCUAAAAAACUAGCAUACAUUUUUCCACACUUCCAUGGCAAACCAAUAAAAAAAAAUUGUUGCACGCUUGCUAACUAUAGAAUGCCUACUACUUCAUGUCAAACCAAUAAUAUUUCUAUUUCACCUACAAUGCACAAUAUCCAACACCUAACAGCACACUUUUUCACAUUUCAAUAUAAAACUACAACAAAUACACAUCAUCCAACACCCUUUCAACAUCCAACAUCCACACUUCCAUAUCCAACAUCCAACAUCUAAUAUACCAACACAAUUUUCCACACUUCCAUAUCAACAAACACACUAAAUGCAAUUACUAUAAGUGAAAACUCAAAAUCUAAAAAAUAAUAUGUAAGAUCAUGAUAUAUUACUAAACAAAAGUAUGUGUACAACAAGUUCCUCCACUAACUAAAGUAUAUGGUACAAGCUAAAACUAAAGUAUGUACAACACCUACUUCAAAAACUACAAGUAGAAAACUACAAGCAAAAAAGCCCAAAACUAAAGCAUGUACAACAACCAAUUCUUUCACAAACUAAAGUCUAACUACUAACUUAUAUAUUACAAAAAAAACAAAAGAAAAAACAUGUAAAAACUUACACAAAUCGGCCAACAAAACUUGCCCAUUUUAUUCGAAUCUCGCCAAUCUCCUCUUGCCUAUAUGCACUUUUUGUAUUGAACUACACAAAGAAAGAAAAGUGUGGAAAGAAUGAGUUUUGAUCAUUAUUUAAUUUUCACGUAUAAAAAGUGAAGGUAUAAAUUUACAAGGCUAGUAAUGGGAGUACUAGGAUUAUGCACUAUUUCGUGUUUAUAUUUUUGGACAUAGUACCUACACCCUACAGAAUCCAAUUGAUGAGGGCACUGCAUGUAUAUCAAUUGGAUACAAAAUAUUUUUAUGUUUAUCGAAAAUAAUUAUGUGUCAAUGCAAAUUACCUUUAUAGGUUUGUGUCAAUGCAAAUUACCUUUAUAGGUUUCCAUUUCGGAGUUGUCCGAUAGUGAUGUAAAUCGUGCUUAGCUUGCAAUGUUUUUAAUCCUAUAUAUAUUUGAAAACAUUAGAAUUAGAAGACAAUAAAGUGAAACAAGAAGUAAUAAAGUGAAUACACUUACACAUUUUACACAUUUAUGACUCCAUGAAUGUCUUCAUUAACUUUACUCCGAAGAGAUUCCAAGACAUAAGCAUAAUUUUCUUGAAGAUAGAUGACAUGCAACAUCCAAUGAAAACUACAAUAAACAUCUUCAAUGUGAGUAUACAUUUAACCACAAUGAAAAAAAAAAAGUGUUCCUCUUAUUUAUUUACAUAGGAUUAUACGGAAUUAGAACUAUUUGUUCCAAGGUAGCCGCUUCUAACUGGUUGGCUAAAUUUUUGGUCAAAGAUCAUGAUCCUUGAUAUGUGACGUUAGUUUUUAUUGGCUGAUAACAAAAAACUUUCUUCCACGGUCACAUUUAUCCCAAAGAUUUCUAAGUAAAAGCAACCUUAGUUAAAAAAAGAACAAAAUAACUAUAGCGAUGGUAUUGGAUAUAAAGAUGAGUAAAAGAUGUUUACUUACGUAAUGUAUGCAUAUAUAACCUAUUUCAACCAUGCAACAGUAAUGUAGGAACUCCUCACAAGCUAAAUAAACAAAUUUUUUUACCAAAUAUUAGCUCAUUCAUUGGGAUAUGAACCAUAUCUACAUCCUUCAUAUUGUUCACGACAUGUCCAUUUAAGAGCUUAAUAGUUUCACUAACGUCUGUGUACUUUGAAGAAUACACAACAUCCUUCGGGGUUGAAUGCUCCUACCAUAACCAAAAUAAUAAAUUUAAAGUACAACCACAAAUAAUAUGAAAACUUAAAUAGUGAAAAAGAGACUUACUAGUUUGUCAUGAAUCACAUAAACAAGCUAACGAGGUCAUUCAAUAAUGUUACCCAACGUUUGAUUGAAAGUCUCUAUCUUGCCCUUCAUCGGAACAGGUAUACUAAAAUCUCCUUUAGUAAGCAAGUCCACCAAAACUUUAACAUUUGGACCGUCACUGUUAUCGUCAAAUAUGGUGGCUAUUGCAACGAUAUUAUUAAUUGAUCCUACAGCUAAUUUGCAUGGUGUUCCCUUUACAAGUAUUAAAAGUAUCGUUAAGAACAAUUGAUCUAUAUCAUUAAAAUUUUAAAAAUGACAACAAAGUUAAUUACCUUUACUCCUUCGUUGCUAGGUGUGUUGCCCAAAUCCUCAUCGACAAUAAGAUCUAUGUUAACACUUUCGAUGGACGAUCUCGAGCGACUAUGACUCUUCUUAUGACUUUUGCUUCUCGAGUCAUCUUCUUUACGACAUAUUUCAACUUCAGAACUUAUCAUUUUCUCUUUCCCUUUCACUAUUUUGAAAUAUUGUGAUUGAGAGACAAAACCACCCACACCUCUGACAUGUCCACCGUGCUCCUUGGAACCCAAUGCUUCAGUCAAUAUGUGCUCAUAUUUAUGUGUUGCGACUAAUGCAUCCUAUAAAACAAUACAAGUAUUUUCAUCACCAACUAAGUUAAUAAAAGAUUAUAUAUUUUAUAUAAGUAAAUCGUAAGUAAACUUACAAUCCGAGAGACAGUAGCAUUAUCAAAAUAACCAUUGUUCUUUCCUUUUCGGGCUUCUUUUCAAAGAGUUAACGAUAGGAAACAUCACGUGUUAUAUUAUGCAACCAAAGAUAUAUACUUAAUUAGUAUAAACAUAUUAAGAAAAAUUAUUUAAUUUAAUUAGAAAGACUCAUUAAUUCGUUGGCAAGAUUCGCAUAUCCCUUACGAGCAAAUUGAUGAUUGUAUAAACAUUUUAACCUUCUUUCCUUUUGAAUACAACUGUACUCCUGUACAAAGCAGUAGUUUGUAGUUACAUACCAAAACAAUAUUAAAGUUAACAUGUAAUUAAAUUUUUUUUACCUCCCAUUCUUCAGUUAGUCUAGCGUCCACAAAGGAUUCCCAAUCUUCUUGAUUAUAUGAGAAUAAAUUUUAAGAGGAAACUGUAGAUGUGAUGGUUGACGAUCCUUAAACAGUAGUAUAUACUUUCGAGUUAAUGAGGUCUUGAAAGUCUGAAACUUUCUUGAUGCAGACAUGAAGAUAGAAUGUUUGGCAUUAUGAUGUAACUCAAAUGACAUUUACACAAUAGAAAACAAAAGCAUAUUUAGACUUAGGGAAAUCAAACUACAUUGUAUAAAAAACGUAAAUAUAGAAUCCAUACUGAUAUACAAUCAUAGAUUUUAUCUUUCAACUCAUUCGGAACUUGUUUCCAAGAUUUGUAUGUGACAGAAAUCUGCUGCUGAAUGUACACACCAAUGUAACUUUGCAUUUUCUUAGAAGUUGCUCCUAUAGGUUUCCCGUGUUCAUUAAAUUGAACGGACAACUGUUGCCCAACAUUUCUUGUUGGUGCUAACUCUGACACAAUAGUUGGGCCACGUGGCACAUAUAAUCUGGUUCUUACUUCAGGAAUCAUUUGUCUUUCAUCCUCACUGCUAGAAUGUGAAUCCUCCAUCUAUAAAUUUACAAAAAAAAAACAUAUAUACAUUAGUAAGCAAAGUAAUGACAUAUCAUAAGCAUAGUAAUUACGAACUCUAAACAUAAAUCUAUUAUAAAAGAAAGUAAAUGACCUACCUUAAUAAAACAUUUAUCACAAUCAUUACUUAUCUACCCAUCUACCCUCAUAAUCAUGUCUAAUAUAUGAUGGAGUUGUAUCAUCAAUCUCGUUGGGUGUAUCAACAUUGGGCAUCCUUUGAAUGACUCCAUAACCACACUCUAGAAGCAUAUCUCCUAUUUCAUCUCCAAAGAAAUCUUCUUCAAUAGUUCUUUGUGGAGAUGUUAAAUCCGCUGACCAUUUAGGAUUUGAAGAAUCUUUCACAUAGAAUACUUGUUUUGCUUGGGAGGCUAAAAUAAAAGGGUUUGAUUUAUGUCAAAUACGUUUGAGAUCCACAAUGGUAAAUCCAAGCUCGUCCACUUUGACUCCAUUUUUAUUAUCAACCCAAUCACACUUAUAUAAAAUAAAAGAUAAUUGAUGGCAAUCAAUUUCCCAUAUAUCUUGUAUUAUGCCAUAAAAGGUCAUAUCUGACAUGACAUGGUUUUUGUCUUUAGAACUAGAGACUUGCAUCGUAGUGGUUGUUAUACUAACUCCACUAUUUUCGACCAUCACGCCCUUUUGUGUGAUUGUAAUAACCAUUGAUCAUGUAACCAGAUGGUUUGUAAAUAUUUUCAUUGCGAGGACUUAAUAGCUUUGUGCUGAGAGACCAUUAUAGCAAUACUUCACUAAGUCAGGUCACUGUGCAUAAUGCACUCGUCAUGACUUUUGAUAUUGCUUGCGUUUGAUCUCGUGUAAGCGAUGAUUCAUAGAUCGUGAUCAUAGCAUACAGAAUGCUCACUACGUACCUCUUCAUUUCAUAAUACUUAAGUCCUUGAUAAAUACAAGUUUUUCUACUAUUCACCCAAGUGCAAGCAAAUAAUAGAUUUAUCUGAGUGAUCUAGGGUCGAACACAGGAAAUUGUUUGAGAUGUUAGUUCGAUACUUUACUUUAGCAUUAAGACGUUAUGACAAUUAAGCUGAAAGAAUGUAAUGCUAAUUAUAACUAACUAUUUACAACUUAAGACUCACGCACAGAGAAUAAAUUAAGCUAGGGGAGAGUGAAAUGAUCUAACUUGUAUGCAAAUGAAGGUUGAAGGAUAUUCUACGCGCUAUCAAUUGCUUAGGAUUUGUGAUAACCUUAACACACUAUAAUUGCAUAAUGGAUACAUGAUUAAGGCGACCUUCUCUCGAAGUGUUUAAAUGCCACACUUUCUCGCGUUUUGGGACACAAAUGACUAUGCUUGCUUAAGCGAAUUAUACUUAGAGAACUUGACUCAUAAUACUUAUAGGACUUCUCGUUUAAGGACGAAAACCUCUCGGUGCCUAUUGUCCACACUUCUUUACCUUUCAGGAUGCAAAUGUUGGAAGCUACCUCUCUAGGAUGAAAUUUAUGUCCAAAUUCCUCCUAGCGUGCACUAGUCUUAUCCUUGCUACUCGCCCUCUAGGGUAGUUGGAGAUUAACACUGACCAAGUGAUGAAUAUAGCUCAGCUAAUGCGACAAGAACUAUAAGUUAAACUCUUUAUCAAGAACUUAUCACCCUUUUCUCAGUUAAUAACACGAAGAUGAGUGAGAUGUUAAAAAAUGGUAGAUUGAAAAAGGCAUAAACAUGCAAUAUAUAUAUAAAGAAUAUAGGUCUUCGACCACUGUACAAUAUGAACAAUACUAUGUACUAUUACAAGUUAAGAAAUAAACAACAAAUAAUCUUUCCUUUUAUCAUGAUUGUUUAAUCUUUGGGUGUUUUAUUUAAACUCUUUCUUUCUAAUGUGAUUUUCUCUGGUCACUUGAGUCUCUCUCUCUCUGGCCUCUUUAGGUUCCGAGCCUAUUCGAGCCACUCUCUCUAUUUUUUUGGUGUAAAUUCAGUGCUUAUUAUAUGCUGCUUUUUCGACAAGAAAACUCUAUUACUCUAAAUGUGUCAGAACCGUAAUCUGCCCCUAUAUAGUCGCAUCAUUCCAACUACCAUUUUCUUCGAGCUUUCCUUGCUUGAUUUUUAAGUUCAUCUUCUAGAGUUGUUAGUCACUUGACACGAUCUAUCGCCUUGUUUUUGCACGGGAUGUCUCGUACGAAUUGAUCCUUUUUUCUUUUUUCCACUUGUCCUGCACUUAGACAUGGUAAACGCGUAAAACAGGAACUACAUUUAUGUAAGCCUUAAUUCUAAGUAUUUAUGCUUUUACAACAUAAGUUAUGCGUUUUGAGCAUCCUUUAAGUGUUUUAAUUUCCAUUAUUCUACUAAAAAGGGUUAUAAUCUCGGUGAUUUAUGCUCGUUAUCAUCAUAGUACAUGGCCAAAUCAAGAGACGGUCCGUGAGCUAUCCAUUUUAAGGAAGGCGUGAUGGAAUUUUUUGGAACUUCGAGAGGAAGUGCAACAUACAAAAUAUAUUAGAUCUGAUUAGUUUAGAUCCAGAAUAAACAUGAACGUGUAUGGUUCUAGUGAUUACCCAUGUGGACAACCACCGACUGAAUGUGCGAUUAUGCUCUUCUUGAAUUUAUUUUUUAGUUUUAGAUUUACCAGAGUUAAGCUUACGCAAACUCUCCAAAUGUUUUCUGUCAUAAAUGAAAAAGUUAUUAGGUAAUUAAACAACCAACUUAUGUAAUAUGAGAAUAUAUAGGGUAGAACAUACUCAACGUGUGGUAGAACAUCAUUUAUAUUUUGAAUAAUGUAAAGAUGAGCUUGAUCUAAUUGCUCCUUACUCGGUCUGAUAAAAGAAGAAGCUGAUAAUGCUCUAUCCACAUUUGAAUAUGCUUUUAUUACAAAUGAGUUUAGUCCAACAGAACUAACUCCAGUCAUAAAUUCAGAACAUAACUCUAUAGCCUCUUCAGCGAUAUAAUUUUCUACCAUACAUCCUUCUGGGCUAUUUCUAUUUCACACACAAGUUUUCAGAACUUUCAUAUAUCGUUCAAAAGGAUACAUCUACCUUAGAUGAACAGGCCCAUAAAACUCAAUUUCUCUUAUGAGAUGCACUACAAGGUGUACCAUUAUAGUGAAAAUUGAUAGUGGAAAAUACUUCUCUAAUAGAUAUAGAGUUACAACUACAUCUUCUUGCAUUCUUUGUAGUUAUGAUGAAUCAAUUUUCUUCUUACAUAUAGCAUUAAAGAAGAAGCAUAGUCGGACAAUUACAAGUCUUACAUAUUUCGGUAAAAUACCAUGAAUUGCCACAGGUAGCAACUGUUGCAUAAGAACGUGAUGGUCAUGCGACAUAAGUCCUAGAGUUUCAAAUAUAUAAGUGACACUAUACUUUGAAUGUUCGAUGAAUAGCCUUCAGAUACUUUAAGUUCAGAUAGUGUCUUAAAAAAACUCAUUUUCUCCGCUCGAGAUAAUGUAUAACAUGCUGGGGGUAAAAAUAUUUUUUUCUCCCCUACUUAAGGGGCUAACUCUGAUCUAAUGUUCAGUUUCACCAAAUCUAAUCGACUCUUGAUUUCAUCUUUUGUUUUACUGAAAAUAUCAAGCAAUGUGUCAAUGAGAUUUGCAUACACAUUUUUUUUAUGUGCAUUAUCACAUCUAAACAAUGUCGCACAUCAAGGUACUUCCAAUAUUCUAAUUAAAAAAAAAAUAGACUUUUUCUUCCAAUAAGUACAUGAAGAACUAUUCUUUUCCUUGAUAGUUCUCUUACCAAAUGAAUGAUUAUACUUGUUUGUACAAGAAUUUCUUUCCCACUCAAUGGUUUUGGAGCAAAUCCUAAUUCUUGUGCACCAUUGAAAACUUUCUUUUAUCUCCUAUAUGAAUGAUGACAUGGUAGAAACUUGCGAUGUCUAAUAUACUCAUCUUUCUUUCUUUUGGCAAAUAAACGGAUGAAGUAUUCUCUCCAAAAAUUAGACAUGCAUGAUAUCCUUUGACCGUACAACCACACAAGUUACCAUACGCAGGAAAAUCAUUAAUGGUCCAUAAUAAAAUAGUUUUGAGCACGAAACAUUGAUCUUGAUAUGCAUUGUAACAUUCCACCCCAUCAUGCCAAAGUUUUUUUCAAAUCAUCAACUAACAGAGUUAAAUAAAUAUCUAUUUCAUGUUCCAAUUGUUUGGGACCAGAUAUCAGUGCAGUGAACAUAAAAAAAUCGAUUCAUACACUCAUGGAGGUAAGUUGUAUGUCACUGACAUCACUGGCCAAGAACUAUAUCUACUGCUGAGAUCUCCCUGCGAAUUUUGACCCAGGAAAGAGCAAAACGCAUAUUUCUAGGUUUUAACUCAAACUCUGGCCAGUAAUUGUUUAUUUUUUUCCAUAAUAAUACAUCUUUUGGAUGUUAUAAUAAACCAUUCACUUCUUUGUUUUUUUUUUGGUAUGCCAUGUCAAUAAUCUUGAUGUUACUUUGCUUCGAAACAUUCUUUCAAACCUUGGAAUUGAAGAGAAAUACCAUACAACUUUCACUGGAACAUUCUUAACUUCCUUCUUUGAAUUUUUAGGAAUCUUCCAUCUUGACAUAUCAUAAGAGGGGCAUACAUUUGCAGAGAGUUCUUUCCUAAACAAGCAACAAUGAUUCCUACAUACAUGAAUAUUUUCGUACUUCAUUCCAUGAGUACACAAAAUAUUUUUUGUUUCAUAAGUAGACGUAGGGAUUUCAUUAGGAGUAAGUAAGAUGUCACAAAUUAAUUCUAGCAAUUCAGUGAAACUCUUAUCACUCCAUCCAAAUUUAGCUUUCAAAUUAUAUAACUUUAUUAAUGUAGAUAUUUUGAUAAAAUUUUUACAAUUAGGAUAUAAUGGUUUCUUGGUAUCAUCUAGUAGUUCCUCAAAAUUUUCUAGCUUGUCCUUGAAAUAAUUGGGUGCAACCUCAAACAUUCCGAUUGUGUCAUCAAUAUCAUCCUCAUCAAUUUCUUCUUUUUCACUACUAAAGACAAUUUCAUUGUUUCUCUUAAUUGAUAGUGAUUCACCAUGAAAAAUUCAUACUUGAUAACUCUGAUUGAUGCCAUUAAAAAGUAAGCGAUCUCUAAUUGUAUUCACAUCUAAAGUCUUUGCAUUUACGCACUUUAAACAAUGACAAGUCAUGACGUUCGAUGUCUUCGAAUGUUUCGAUCCAUUUUUAAUAAACAUCUCAACCCCAAAAGUAUAAUCAGUUGACAUUCUAUUCUUUUUCACCCACGACUUAUCCAUAUUAUAUAAGAUGCAACUUAGUCUUUAAAAAAAAGUAAAAAAAAAAAAAAAAAACAUAAUUAAGUAAUCUUAAACUUGUGAACUUAACUAUAAUUUACCAUAAUACUUAAAAUCUCAAAUUAAAACCAACAAGUUCUAUAUACACCCAACCAACCAAAAAGUUCUAUGUACACUCAAACAGCUACAAAACUCACAAUCAUAUCAAUCAAGUAACAAACAAAUAUAAAAUUAAAAUCAUCCACAAAGACCAAACACAAACUUCUGACCACCAUUACGACAUAAAUUCUAAAUGAAGGAAGUGAAACAAGACUUUAGAGAUUUCUUAUGACAUAUAAUUCCAAACUUACUUAUUAGAGAAAGAAAAACUUACUUGUUUAUGUCUCUUAAUGUAAAUCUUCAAAUUAGGACACCACUCGUCGAAGACCUUCCUAUCCUCUAAGAUGAGAUUGGGAUGGGAAAAAUGCUUAGAGAGAAACUAUUUUUUUUUCAGAGAGUAAAAACAUUAACUUUUUUUUUAAUUAAUUGAUUAAAGAAAACUGUUUUCUUCUAUAUAUUUAUAACUUUUUUUCCUUCUUGGAGUACGAAAGAGAGUAGCAGAGAUUCAUUGGAUUCUAUUAAUUUAAAAAAUAUUAAAUUAAUUAAUCAGUAAUCAAUUAGUUAAUAAUUAGCUAAAUUAAAUAUCUUAUAUUUAACUUAAAUUAAAUUCAAAUCAUAUUCAAAUAUAAGUUUCUCUUAUAACCAACAAUUUUAAUUUGAAUCAAAUUCACAUUAAAUUAAUAUUUGGACUCAUUCAAGUAUUUUAUCUCUCAUAAACUAAUUUUGAAACAUAUACAAAAUUAAAUUUAUAUCAUAAAGUUUUGUAUAUAUUAAAUUUAUAUCAUAAAGUUUGAUAAACUUUAUAUUAUAAUGUAUCACUAUACAUUAAACUAAUUUCCAAAGUAAUUUUGAACAUUUCAAAUUACAACCAAUAUAAAUAAAUCACACUACCCUUUACAAGCUAGGAAGGGGACCUGAUGGACCUACAAAUCAGAAGCUACAACGAUCUGAGACACAUUAACCACAUUAAUCAAUAUUUGUUAAUUGUGUGUACACUCCACUAAAGACCUCUUUUCUCUUAGCGAAGGUGAAGUACUUUUGUACGCAGCUUUGGACGAAAAAGUUCUAUUCUUUUGAGAUUGUCAGCGUUGAUUUCAAUCUUAUAAAGUCACAUCACUCCAACUAUCCUUCUUGUCUUCUAGUGAGCUUUCCUCAUGUAAUGACGUGGUUUCUCAUUUGAAUAUGUUACCUGCUAGGCGAGUUCCCAUCGCGUUGCUUGUGCGCGAAAUGUCCUCAGUGAUUUGCUCAUUUCUUCUUGUUUACUUAUCCUGUGUUUGAACAUGAAAAUCAAGUAAACACAGGCAUAAAUUUACUUGCUCUUGUUUGGUUUGGAAAUCACUUGAAGAAUUAAGUGAAACUGGCGCACAACAUGAAGAAUCAAGUCAUCCAAAGGAAUUUUGUACAAUUUGGUAAGAUAAUUUCUUACCAUUUUAGCCUCGUACUAUUGGUUGUGCUACGCAUGUACGACAUGUUGUUGAAAAAACCACAACCAGUAAUAAAUGCAUGCACAAAUUCAAGUUGGAAGUGCUUUGAGGUUGGCUUCUUAAAAUAUACUUCGUGCUUCACAUAUCACAAAGUCCUACUGCUGAUCCACAAUUUUUUUAACACUGCAGAAUUUCCUUGGGGCAUUGAAUGAGACUUACAUAAAGGUGAACGUGAUGAUAAUUGAUCGACUGAGGUAUAGAACACGAAAGGGGGAAGUUGUCAUAAACUUCCUCGAAGUAUGUGAUACGAAAGGAGAUUUCGUAUACGUCUUAGCUGGCUGGAAAGAAUCUGCAGUUGACUCCUGCAUUCUUCGAGAUGCUAUUUUAGAACUGAAUUGACUGAAGGUUUCGAAGGGUAACUGCGUUUUUGUUCUUCUUCUUCGAUCAAUUUGUAGGUAAAAGCUCAAUGUCUGAGUAGAGAAUGGUCCAUUUUCCAUUCCACCUAACUUGUGAUGUUCAUUUCUAUACUUUUCAUUUUUAUAUUUUUUUUAUAAUGUAUUUUUGUCCAUAUUGUAUAGUGACCUAAUACCUACAUUCUUUAAUAUAUUGUAUAUUUAUACAUUUCCAAUCCAUCAUGUCGUUACUAUUCAUAUGUCAAUGUGUUAUUCAAAGUUUCGGUCUGUGAUAAGUUCUUGAUAAGAAGAUUAGCUUAUAACUCUUAUCGUGUUAGUUGAGCACCUAUAGUCAUAACUUGGCUAAUGUUUAUCGCCGACUACUCAAGAGAACAAAUAACAAAGAAAUGGCUAACUUGUGCAAGAAAGAGUAUUUGAAAACAAACUUCAUCUUAGUGAGAUAAACUUUCAUCAUUUGUGUCCCAAAAGGAGAACAAGUGUGGGUGCUUGAAGCUGAGAGGUUGUCACCUUAAAAGAGAAGCUCUAUAAGUUUUGUAAGUAAAAUUUUCUAGAUAUAUCUUGCUUAAUUAAACUUAGUCAUUUGCAUCCCGAAAGGCGAGCAAGUAUAGCGUUUAAAGAUACCAAGAGGUGCUCACGUUAAUCAUAAGUUAGUUAACUAAGAUAUGUCGCAUUAUAGUUAAUAAUAACUUAAUUGCCUAAUAGUGCAGAGACUUUCCUUCACUCUUUCUUUACACAAGUUAGUUCACACCUCCAUUUCACCUUCAUCUUAAUUCCCCUUUAGAAAUUCUCUAAUAUAGAUAAAUGGAUAUAGUAUAAACCUACACUUUGUCAUAUUAUAUAGAUAAUUCUUUUAUAUUGCCCGUAAUGAAGAGUAAACUCUAAAACUAAGAUUUGAUAUCAAUUUUCUGUGUUCAACCUUAGAUUACACAUGAAACGUAUUGUUUCCCUUACACUUGGGCAAACAAUAAGAAAACAUGUACUCAACAAAGACUUAGUAAUUACGUGAAGAUGUGAUACACAUAGUGAGCAUCUAGCAUGCAAUGACUAUGGUCAAUGACUCAUCACCUAGAAUUAGAUACAAACACUACUGCAAACAACAUUGAGUCAUGGAAUCGCAAAACCAACAACAAGUUUUUGGCAAAACGAAUUCAAACAAGCAAAUUGUCUGUUGGCUUUCUACAGAAUCGUUUAGAUUUGACUAUAUAUUCUUUCCUACACGAUCGUUUAGAUUUGGUAAACGAUAUUUUUACCAAAUUUAAAUAAUUUUUUUACCUAGAUCUAAAUCGCUUUUUUUUACCUAAAUCUAAACAAUUCUUUUUCAAGAUUCUUUUGUACAUGAUCGUUUAGAUUUGGCUAUUCUUUUCUACACGAUCAUUUAAAUUUAAUGAUUUAAAUUUGGGUAGCCAAAUCUAAACGAUUUUCUUUUCAAGAAUUUUUUGGUACACAUUAAUUUAGAUUUGGUACAUGAUCGUUUAAAUUUAAGUAGCCAAAUCUAAACAAUAUUUUUCAAAAAUGUUUGGUACACGAUCAUUUAGAUUUGAUCAUUUAAAUUUGGGUAGUCAAAUCUCAACAAUUGUUUUCAAGAUUUUUUGAUACAAGAUCGUUUAUAUUUGGUACACGAUCAUUUAAAUUUGUACCUAAAUUUAAAUGAUUUUUUAAAGAUUCUUUGGUACACGAUCGUUUAGAUUUGACUAUUUUUUUAUACACCAAGUUUAGAUUUGACUAUCCAAUAUCCCAACAAAUUUUUUUCAUAAUAUUUUAUAUUUGACAUUUCCAUCGAAAACUGACAAAGAAAUAUCCUCGAUUGAGAUUUCGAUUCAUGUGUACAAUGAAGACAAAGGAAAAAUCGGACAAGAGAAAAUGGAUAAGACAAAUAAACAAAUUGACUUCUAAGUAAUGAGAAACAAGAAAACAAAAAUAAUGAAAAAUAAAAAAGAUGCUCAAUUAACACCUUUUGUAAGCACAACUUAUAUUUACAACUUUUACUUGAAUAGGAUUUGUUUAUGUUGUACUAGUGUGUCCUUGAAUUCUAAAAAUAUAGCAACCCAUGUUCACUAAGGAAAACAAAAACACAUAAAUACAUCAAAAUAUCAGUAAGUUGAGUCACAAUCAAAAAUACAUUUGAAAAAUAGAAACUCUAAGUUGAAGAGAAAGAUCAAUUUCUUUAAGAGAGAAGAAAAAUACCUCACAGUGGCCAUGAGCUGUAGAGUAAUGGCCAUUUUGAUAGGUUUGUUUGAUUAUGGAUAUUGAAGUAGAAUGUAAGUUAAAUUUCAUCAACCCAACAUCAUAAACAAAAAUAUAUCAAUAUAGUAAACAAAAUACCUUUCGUUUAAUGGAUACAUGAAAGAUGACUCCACCCUGUAAAAAAAUGUGUACAGGAAAAAAAUUGCAUGAUAUAAAAAUUGAAUGCAAAAAAUAUAUGGACAAACCAUGGAAAACAAAAGAGAAUUUUCGAACGAGAACCGAUACAACCUAAAGUAAAGUAGUAAGAAAACAACGCAUCAAUUUUUAACAAGAGGCGUUUUGGAUGAAUUCUUAUGAUUUCUACUUUCUUUUUCGGAUUGUUUUUCAUCAUCUGAAUUUAAUUCCUCAUCAAUUGGAAAGCCUCUAAACCCAGAAAAAGGGUCAACAAAAUAUUUAUAUAUAUAUAAAAAAAAAAACUCAUCCCUUCCUGCUCUGCUCCUUCUAUUAGUCAAUCUAGCCACUAGAACAAAUCACCCUAAAUUGGAUUUUGAAAUGAAAUUACCCGAUCUCCAUCAAGGGGGGUUUCACCCUAGCCAAUGCGAAGCUCCAAUGCCUUGACGCCAGCCGAGUUCGAGAGGUCGAAGAAAUCCGAUGGACGGAUUUGGAAGGAGCGACAAUAAGAGAGCAGAGAUGGAGAUGACGAUUGAGAGGAACCAAAAGAGAGAUGGAGAUGAAAAUUGAGAGUGUAGCAGAGAUGGAGAUGGCGAUUGAGAGGAACCAAAAGAGAGAUGGAGAUGAAAAUUGAGAGUGUAGCCGAGAGAGAUGGAGAUGCGAAUUGAAAAGGCAACGACUGAGACGGCGAUUGAGAGUGCAGCGGCUGAGACGACAAGUUCUGCAUCUUCGUGCGUUUUGAUUAAGGGAAGGAACGUGUUUUCAUCCUAGGGUUUUAGAAAAGAGAAAACGGACUUAAUUGAAACGACGUCAUUUUAGUACUAAAUUUCUUGACGUUUUUAAAAACGUCAAGGAUUUUUUUUAUAAAUUUCUUGACAUUUUUCAAAACGUCAAGGAUUUUUUUAUAAAUUUCUUGACGUUUUUAAAACGUCGAGUAAAAUUUUAAAUUCUUGACGUUUAAGAAACAUCAAGCAUGUCGAAUUUAUACGCUUCUUGACGUUUUAAGAACGUCAAAAAAUUAAUAGAUAUUUCUUGAUGUUUUAAAAACGUCAAGAAAAAAAUUAUUUCUUCUUGACGUUUAAUAAACGUCAAGAAUGAUGUUUCAGAAAAAUUCUUGACGUUUUUUUAUUAAAAAUGAAAUCUUUUUUGACGUUUUUUGAAAAAAAUGUCAAGAAAGGAAAACAACAACCGUCAAGAAAGCCCAUUUUUCUAGUAGUGCGAUCUUAAACAACCAAAUAAAAGUUUGAAAAAAUAAUACAGAAAAAUGAGAGAAAAAAACGAUGGAAAGAAAAUAAAAUCACAUAAGAGGGAAGAGAAGAAAGACAAUGAAAAAGAAUCAUGAACUUUUUCAUUUUAUCAUAUGAAAGGUAAAUAUUUUGCCAACUUAUUAUAUUUUUGCCAAUCUUACUAUAUUUAAAAAUAAUUUCAAUUUUUUUUUUUAAACAAUUACUCAAGUCUAUAAUUAAGAAGAGAACAAAAAUGACAUAAAGAAAUUUUUUAAAAAAAAAUAGAAAAGUAGUUUGGGUUUAGGGUUAUAUUUAUAUAUAAAUGUAGAAUUAGUGUUGAGUGCUCAUCCAUCUAAUAUCCUUUAUGGUUACAUUGUGACCACACCAAAAGCAACCCCACAAUUUUAUUUAUUUAUUUUCAUUCUCAACUAUUCUUCUCUCUCUCCAAACACACACACUCUCUCUCUCUCUCUUCUUUUGCCAUUUUUGUUGUGAAAUUUUGCAGGUUAGGUUAUUGUGUGAAGGGAAAAAGGUAAGGUAAGGAUGAUGUUGAGGGUAGUAGUGAACUUGAAAGCAAAAAUAAUGAAGUCAUUGAAGAUGAAGAUGAAGAUGAAAGCAACAAAUUACGAUGCAGAUUAUGAUAAGAUGGAGAAAAGUGAAAGCAUGAGAGUUGAAAUCAGAAGCAGAAAAGCCCAGAAGCUCAUCCAACAGUCCUUGAAAUUUGCUGACUCUCCCUCUUCUAAAACUUAUGCCUUUUGAUUUCUUAUAUAAAUAUCAAUUUUCUUCUCUUAUAUCUCAAUCAAUCCCACCCCCUGCCCUUAAUUUCAUCUAUACCCUUCCCCUCCCUCCCUUCCUUCCUUCAUCACUACAUAAUUAUAUAUGAACAAAAGUAUCUAAUAAUAAAAUAAAAUAACUCACUUUUCCUUAUUCUCUUCUCUUCUUCUUCUUCUUCUUCUUCUUCUCAUCCUCUUUUUCUUUUUUCUAUCGUGGCUGAAACCAUUAAAUUUAUAAUACAUAUUUAUUUCUAUAUAUGAUGAGACUAUGUGUUUUUAUUAUUUUGUUACUUAAAUUAAUGCAAACAAACAUUUAUAGUUGUUUCUUUAUAUUAAUUAACCAUAUGGACAAAAUAUGUGUAUUUUAUUACUCUAUCUAUUUUUCUUAAUUUGAUGAGGGGACAAAUUAGAAAUUAAUGAAAUGUAGUUAAACAUUCUUUCUACCAUUUUUAGUUGGUUAAUUAUAAGAAAAAUUAUGGCCACCACAAUAAAAACAUAGAUUUUCAAAUUGGUUUGUUUUAGAACAAUUUUUUCUUCAAAGGAAGAGAUACUAAGAGAAAAUAUAUGAGAAGAAAAGCAUGAUCUAUCUAAUUAAAUUUGGAACAUAUCAUCUACCUAUUAUUUAAUCAUCUUUUGCAAUCAAUAUAGAUAUUACAUAUACAACUGCUAAGUUUUUUUUUUUUUUCUUUUUUAAAGUUAAAGUUAGGGAAAUGAUAAAUUAAGGAGAUAUAUAUAUAUAUAUAUAUGGUAUGUUAGGAAUGUGUGGUAUAUAAUCAAAAAAGUUUUAUCCAUGAUUUUUGUAUAGGGAAGCAAAAUGAUGUGGAAACAUAUAAAAGAAUAUGGUUGGUAGAAGAAAACUUAUCUCAUCAAAAUUUAAUGGUGUGAUGAAAAUGACAACUUUUAUUUUCUUUUCAGUGGGAUAUUCAAAUCUAUUUAUAUCAUCUUUUGCAUGGCACCCAAAUGAAAGUGCUUCUUCAUUAUUGUAGAGAAGAUAUAAGCUAUACCAUUUGAGCCAAUAGUGUAUAGAACAAAGUGGAUUUUACUUUCUUUUUCAUUAGUCAAACAACUAGCAGCUUGAUUUUCAAAGUGGUGCAAUAUUAUUUUAGUUUAUAUAAUAAUGUAAUGCUUUCAAAUAUUGUUUGCCUUUGUUUAUGUUAAUUAUCAAUUUCAAUUAUCUAACUUAUGCUAUGCCUUCAAUUAAUUUUAAAUUUUCUUCUAAUUCAUUUUACCUUAAUGUUUAUCAAAAUCAACUUAACAAUAAUAGUAAUAUUUUAAAUGAAGUGUUCAUAAAUAUAAUCAACAUUUUAGACCAAGAUUAUUAUUUGAAAUCUUAGAAUGAAUAAUGUGGUUUGAGUGUCGUCAAAAGUUGGUGAGCAUGUAAUUUCAUAGUUUAAAGAGAAAAAUAUGAGUGAACAAGUAUCACGUUUGAAUUAAAGGAAUUUAAUGGACAUGAAAGUUAAAAUGAUUACUAGCUAUAAUCUACUACCAACGAUGUUACGUUUUCAUUUUAGUAAGUCAAUAUCAUAGGAAGGCUAAGAUGAAGUGUGUUUGACACGGAAUAAUCUUAGUUGGACGAAGUGUGUAAAUAUACACAUUGAAAGGACAUUUUGGUGGGUGGAAAAGUGUUCAGUCGUAUAGAGAGAAGACUGUAAAAAGUAAAAAGAAAUGAGAGGACAUUGUGGACUUCUCAAGAAAUUUACCAAGAGAUCUUUAACCACACCAUAGAGAUCAAUCAAAGUUUUAUAACCAUCAAGAAUAAAUUUAGACAAAACUAAAUGGGCAUCAAUGUAACAAUCAACUCAUCACAAUGUAAAAAGAGAUUAUAAAUAUCACAAUCAAGGAAGAUAUAUUUUUCUUGUUUACUUGGUAGGACUAACCAACUUUACUAUUAAAAGAACAAUGUUUCUUUUGUAUACAUGAAAUUAGUUGGCUUUUUAUUGCCCAUGAUGACAUAUGUAUAUACACACACCCUAUCAUAUUUUUAUUUAUUUGAAUUCACUUAUCAUGUGAGUACUGUCAAGAAUUUGUAAAUGUACAUUGUUAAAUGAUUGGGAAAAAAUACAAAGUAAAAACAAACAAAAAUAUAAAUAACAACUAACAAAAGAAUAUCUAUGAAAAAUGGAGUUUUUCUUUGACACUGUUUUAGCUAGAAUUUUUUUGAAAGAAUUGAAUGUUGAAUUUUUGAAGAAAUGUGGUGGAGUUCCAUUAGCUGUUAAGAUGACGAGGAAGGUUCAACUAAAAGACAUCAUGAUAGAGGUAAAAUACAAAGCACGAUUGGAAGAAAAAUAGAUAUAAAAUUCAUGAAAAAGUAAGAAUUAAAAGCUUUGAUUUCUCUUUUGUUUACAUAUGUUAGUGCAAAAAAUGUAGUGCAUUCGCUUGUUGCUCAUUACCAAAAAGAAAGAAGAAAUAAAAAGAAAAAGAAAACAAAUAAUAAAUUUUUAAAAUGUUAGAGACGUGUUGAAAUAGAGUAUUGAAUUUUAAGAUUUAUUGACAAAAUUGGUUAAACGUAAACAUAUAAAAGUACAUAAAAACUGUGAAAGCUUAUGCAAUUUGAGAAGGGAUUCGACUCUAGGAGAAUAGAGAUCGAGGAACGUCAUCUUUUAUAUGAUUCUUAGAUUUAUGGUGCAUAUUGUCACGUUCCGGCGAAAAUGAUUCCAAAAUUUGUGCCAAAAUGAUGUCCAAGGCUCUUUUAACAACCAAGAAGGAGCCCAACUUACCCAUUUGACAAACCAGUGCAGCUAGGACACACGCACAUGACACUAAUGUGUGCCCAUCCAAGGUAGUCAAGCCUCGCACGUACCAAGACAGAUGCUCAUGACAGCCUAAUGUGCGUGUGCAGAUGCCACAGCCCCAUAGGCAAAACUCAGAUGCCAAUGAGCUCAUGGCACCAACACUAAGCACACAGCUCAUGCACACAAGCGUUGUGCAUAUGGACAAGUGGCAGCCCAAGCAUGCACGCAUACAUGUGCAUGCCCCAGACGGUCACCCUUGCUCGCAAACGCAUGGCGUGUGCGCCCCACACUAGCCUGCAACAUGUGCACUGCAUCGUGCAAACUCGCAGUUCGGUUUGAUUUGAUUUAAAGCUGAAACUACGCCUAAUCGCAAAAUGCAAAAGAAAUCUCAUCUGAAAUCGAACCAAAUCGCUCAUCUGGGUCAAAUUGAAUUAAAAUUGAAUCGCAUAUGCAAUUCAAUUUUGAUUCGAUUUUAAAUUAUCUUAUACCAUUGGCAUAUGUGCCUACAACCUCCUACACUAUCGUUUAUCAUUCUAUACAAUCGUUCAACCUCUUACACUUACACGAUCCUUUAGCUUUCUAUACAACCGUUCAACCUCUUACACAAUCAUUUAGCUUUCUAUACGAUUGUUUACCCUCUUACACAAUCAUUUAACUUUCAAACGAACAAUCGUAAUUAUUUGCCCUUUUACACGAUCAUUUAGCUUUCUUACACAAUCAUUUAGCAUUCUAUACGAUCUUUUAGCUUUCAAACGAUGAUUCAACUUUCUAUACGAUCAUUUACCCUUUUACAGUUUCGUUCGAUUUUAGAAUCGGUUUAAUGUCUUAAACCGAACCAACCACAUAAGAAUCGAUUUCAAUUUAAAUGAAACUGCAUGCAUUCGGUUUCAAUUAUGUUUUGGUUUGGUUGUGGUUCGGUUUGCGAUUCGAUUCAGUUUUCAACUAUUUUUUGAACAUCCAUAGAGUAUACACGCAACACACAACCCUUAUGCAAGCCUCAGACUUGACAUACGUGCCACACUACACAUACUCGCAACGCUUGCCCCUCAUAUGUGUCGCCCCGCACGGCACCAUGCGCCCAACCUAGAGCACCCACGCCUUAGGCGUGCGCCCCUCAUGCAAGCCACAUCGCGCAUACUCAUAGCGGAUGCCCUUCAUGCACUCCUUAGACUUGGCAUGUGUGUCACCUUGCACAUACACACAACUCAGCACUCAGCCCAACGCACCCAAACCUCAGGUGCGCGCAAUACCUUGUGCGUGCGCCCAUGUUCCAAAUACCCCUAAAAGCAUCUACAAACCUCUUGAAGCUUCCAAAAGGGGUUAAACACGUUCAUGGUCGUGUUGCAUCACCCACCCAAGGCCUAGACAACCCUAGAAGGCUUGAAAUGGUGCCAGAGCAUUCUAAAAGUGUCUAGAUCACCUAAGAAGGCCUUGAAACAUACUGGAGGAUGCUAGGGAAUGUUGAAAUAUUUCAUGACCGUACUUUUAAUAAAAUCAUGGUGGAAUGUACAAGAAAGAUCUAGAGAAGUCUAUGGCCGACCUUCUAAGGCCCUAAGGUCAGUUGUCAUGUCUAUAUAUAUUUCAAAGGCGGCUCAUUUGUACAACUCUAAGAACUCACUUGGUUGUAAUUCAAACAACUCCAAGAAGAGUUAACCCAAGCUCUUUCAUUCUCUCAAACCUCUUUUGCCUACACCACAAUUUUUCUAUUGUCAUACUCAUCACAAGUGCUUUGUACUCUAACCUUUAAAUGCUUACUUGGCUUCUUUGACAUCAAGAUUGUCCAAGAGCCGCACGUUUAGGUAGUUGAAAACUCUAACCACGUGACAAUAUGCUAUAUAACUAGCUUGAUGAUUUCUGUAAAGUGGAUUCAAUUGUUAGACAUAUAGAAUUUAGACAUACAUUUUGUGAUUAAAAUAAAAUUGAACAAAUAGAUGGAAAGACCAAUUUUGUAAUUUUAUUAAGGUAAAAUUAAAUCGAUAAUAAAAUUAUUGUACUUAAAAAAAAUUUCCAUCACAAGUUCUAUAUAUCAUCAUGAAAUAUUACAUCUUCUUACACAAAACUUAACCCAAAAAAAUUAAAAACAAUAAAUAUUAUGUAGAAAAACACUUUUUUUUUUUUACGUUCACAUAUUUAAUUAAUUUGUAACUAACAAAGUUAGGUUCAUUUGAUCAUGUUUAAGCACUUUGCCUUUAGUUAAUUAUAAUAAUAAAGUUCUGUAUUUCUCAUGAAAAGAGAAUAAUAAGGUUGAUGACUGGAUAUUGUUUGGACAUGAUUGUGCAUAUUUGGUGGAUGUCAUCUUUAUAACUUUUAAACAGCCUUUACUUUCAUUAAUUAAGAUUUCUCCCAAAAAGAAAAUCCACCUUUACUUUUAUGCUCUCAGUCCUUCCCCAUUCCUUUUCUUUUUUUUUUGUGGAAUUCAUCAAAGUUUUACAUUUAAACUAUUCUUUGAAAUCCCCUUUUUGUUGCUUUUCUGUUCAUUAGAUAUUCUAUUUUAAUAGGCAACAAGAUUCAUCCGUACUCAAACAUUGUUACACGAUAAAAUAAUUGACAGUCUUCACAAAUCUAUGUUAGCAUUUCUCUGAUAAAAAAGACAAUAAACAGCCAAAAUGUUACAACAAUACAAUCAUUCUGAAUAGUAAAUUGGUUCUUUGAAAAUUUACAGAUUCUAUUUCUUAAGAAUGUUUCACCAUCCAGUAGAAGGAUUGAUCUUGGUUCUUAAACUUCAACGCAUUAAUACAUUUAUGUUAUGUUUGAUAUAUAUUUUUAAGUGUUUAAUUUUAAUAAGUCAUUUUGAAUAAAUUUGGAGUGUUUAACAUUCAAAAUAACUUUUGAAACGUACUUUAAACAAUUUUGAAUUGAAAUGAUUUUUUUUUUAAAAAAAAAAACACUUUCUUCCCUGGACAAUCCAAAAGAUCCUUUGGAUCCACAUGAACAGUAUUACUUUGAAUAAGAACAAAAUUAAUUGUUUAAGAGAAAAAAUUCUAAAAAAAUAGGCAUCUUAAGAACAAAUGCAUUAAUCAAGAAAUAAGUUGGAAAUAUUUCACAUGAACAGCUAGAAAAAAGUGUCAAUUAUUUCAACAUACUAAUAAUCUGCUUUAUGCACGUAAUGAUUUCCAAAAAGAUGUACGGAUGGCUUUUCUUUUCUUUUCCUCCUUCCUAAUAUCUUCUUUCGGUUAAAUGCAGAAGAAAUCAAACAAGACAUUCAAAAACAACAUCAUAACAAGCCAAACAAAUUGAAACUUUUCAAAAUAAUUACAAUAUUCAGUGUUGAGCACAACCUUAGCAUUGAAGGAUUUGUGGGAGGCAGGUUGGCUUUUAUUUGCUUCAAAAUCUUCAGCCAACUUCAAAUUUUUUUUUGUAAAGGCAUUGUAAUAAAUGCUGGAGUGGGAAUUUGAAUUUGAAACCUCUUGUCCACAGGAACAUAUAGGUGUCAGUUGAGCUAAACUCAUGUUGGCCACCCAACUUCAAUUUCUCUAUGAAAUCACCUAAAACAAAAUCACUAUCAAUCAUUGUAAAGCUUCAACAUAGGAUUUUAUAAACUAUCUUUCUAAUGGGGUAUUCUGCAGUUAAGUAGACUCUUGGACAAGUCCCAGCCUACGUGUUUGGCUUCUAAUACAAGGAGAAUGGUAGCAGUACGUUUUUGCACAGCACAUGAAUUUUAAGUCAAUGCUUCUCAGAAUAAUGUCCUGAUUACAUUAUUAGGUUUGCACAACAUUUUGUGUGUAUAACUCUAUGUGUUUCUUAUUUUAAUUAAUUCUUUUAAAAACUCUAUUCAUCUACUUUCUAUUUUAGACUUUUAAAACACCUCAAUUUUAGUUGAAACUUUCUUUUCGUUACACAUGUGAUCCAAACACAAAAGUACUGAAGUAGAUAAUUAUUUAUUUUAAAACAAUUAAAAAAUAAGAUAAAAAUGACUUAAAUAAUGGUAAAGUUUGUCAGAGUAUUAGUAUGCCAUAUUCGUUCAUAAAAGAAAAAUGUUUUCUUAUACCCUAAGUAUUGGUAUUGGGACCCAUCAUCACUAAUCCUAGAGAACCUUUCGGCGGUCCCAAGGUCCAAAUGAGAGCAUUAAGAGGUUUUUUCUCAUUAAGCUCACUCAAAGGUUUAAACAUGUGGCUUUUGACAAGAUAUUACCAAGAAACAGUGUGUCUUUGCCGACGGGGUCACCCCGUUGGGACCAAAAAUACAAUGAAAAUAGAAAAAUAUAUAAAUGAAUCACAUCAUAGAAAAGGUAGGAUAUAUUUAUUAGGGUGGGCACAAUUUUUCAUUUACUUUUAGAAAAAUAAAUGCAACCAAGUAUGAAAUUAAUGGAAGUAAGAAAGCAAAAUGUCAAAGGACCAAAAUAAAAGGGUUAAGAAAUCAAAAAACGUCUAAAGGUUUUUUCUUAAAAAAAAAAAAAGUUAACAAGGUACAAAUUGGAUCUUGAUAAGUUGCUCGCUAUUUGUUUGUGCUCAUAACAGCGUGAUAGAACUCGGAUUAUCUAUUCACUAUUUAAGCCAAAAUGCCAAGGAAGUCGAGGCUCCCUCCUUUCAACAUGCUCACAGGGCUACACUUCACAGAAUGCAAAAAGAUAAUUAAAAGACUUACCCAGAGGCAAUCUAAAUAGCCCAAUCCUAACUAACCCUAUAUCCCUGUAGAGCCCACUGUAACUUCUUUUACUCCAUAACUAACCGUUUUCCCUUUAACAAUUAUUUACAGUUAUCUCCCUUCCUCUCUUUUUUCUCAUACACCUCCUAAGGAUCGAGGGUCUAUCACAAUGCUAGUCUUUAAUCCAAUUUCUCAAAAGCAAAAUCCACCAAUACCCAACUCAGAUGAAUUUCGAAAAGUAUACGGAACAAUAUGACAAUCAAAAGUGGGGGCAAGUUACCUGAUCUAACAAGAUGACAAAUUAAUGGCUUCGAUGGUACAGUGUCUGCAGAUCCUUGCAGUGAAUACAAGUCCAUGGUAACAACGGUGGGUCCAGACAAUAUGAAUGAAUUUGUCGAAUUUGACAAAGAUGGCAGCUCAUGAGGAGGUCCUCUGGUUCCCGACAACGGCAUGCACUACAAACAGCUGCUACUGAGGGCUGUUAAUUAUAACUAUCGAGAAUUAGUUGUCUGUUCAGAUGGACCAUUUUAACCAUAGUAAAUAAGAAUGUCACCAGAAAAAUCAUUGAGUAUUAGCAGAGAAGAGCUACAAAUGGAAUUCUUGAAAAUGAGUACUAGCUUUGCAUCAACACCCCCCCCCCCCCCCCCCCCCCCCCCCCACACACACACACACACACCCGAACAACAAAGCAACGACAUUGAGCAUUAUAAUAUGACCUGAACAACGUUGUUAAGAGUUCUUUCAUCAGAUAGAAGGUAAAUAUCCAAUAAUGAUGAUCCACAUGGAAUGGUUUGGGAGUAUAUCUUCUGAUCCGAGGUGGCCGCAUAUUCAACCUUUGUGAUGCUCAGAAAACUGGCUUUGCACAAAGGGCACGUUGAGAUUUUUCUGCUCAAAGCCUACAAGAUACGAGACCAAUAGAUUAGGACCUUGAAACAGAUUCUGAACUUCAGAGUACAUAUUAGAACGUUGACAGCGUUUGAAUGACUGAGUAAAUCAAUCAAUUCAGAAUGACAGAACUUACUCAACAAGUUCAAAGAGCAAAAAUCAUUAGUAGUCUCAGAGUUUCAAAGCAGAAGUUGGCACUAGAGGAAAAUAAGUAAAUUUGGAGCCCGCAUAAUUUGGUUUAGUUAUAUAUCAUCUUGUGAUUUGAGGAUUUUAAUCAAGUUUAGAUGAAAUGAAUUAUUGAAAGUGAUGUUAGAUUUUCCAUCAAGUAAUGAUUAGAGGAAAAAUAAAUAAAUUUGGAGGUCACAUAAUUUGCCUAAAGAGCAAAAUGUAUGGACAAUUAUAGAGACAAUUUUCAGGUUAAUUUUUCUUAAUCAGAUCUGCAACGUUGCCUAAUAGUUCAAGAAUCCCAAUACAACCAUAUAUGACAAGCAGUUAAAAUAUCCAGUGUUGAACAUUCAUGCAAAUCCCAUGGCUGCUCGAGCAAUCAUCAUCCUGAACUUCUGCAAUAUAUUAUCAUCCCUAAAACACAUUUCAUGCCAUGCUGAAUUAGAUAGUGAAUUUUACCUUUGAAUUAGAAAACAAAAAUGGAUAAGCAGUACAGAGAGAAAUUGGAAAAGAUACGAAUAAUUUAUGGAGGCAACAUAUUGUUUCUCAAUGUUAUUUGUCUGGAAGUUCUUACUUCGGAUGUAUCAAAUAAAGAACUAGUACACAAUCAUAACUAGCAUGUUCAAAACAUAAUCCAAUUACUACAAAAUAUAAGGAAUUGUCAUUAAGAAGAUUGUGAAUACGAUGGAAAAUUCAAAUAAGUAGUUCUCUAGUCCCAAUUAUCUAGGCAAAAAUGCAACCUAGUUAAUGAAGUAAGAAAAGCUAACUCUCAUAUGCUGAAUAAAUUGAACAGUUCACUGCCCAGGGUCCUAUCUUUUAUAGCAGUUUUAGCUCAAAAAGCAUAAACAAUAUCACAAGGUUUAGUCGUAUCCUUGAAUCUCUAUGAAUAGAAAUUGAAUAGAACUUUUACCAUGUGAUCUGCCCAGUUCUGAAUGCAUGAAUAGCAAAAUCGGUGCCCACAGGGUAAAACUCCCCUCGUCGAACUAAAAUCUGUCCAACAGAUGACACAUGAUAACUCUGUUGAAGUGGAGGGUAAGCUUGCAUCGAGUUCUAUAACUGGAUCCUCAAUGUUCUUUUGCAAAUCAUUCAUAUUGUGCAGUUCAUCUUCUGAAGUUAUUGAUAGCACUCUUGGUGCAUUGUCAACUAGUAAGUUUGUAUCUUUGGAAGUAGAUUGGUUCUCACAAGCUUCAACACCUUCAAAUCUGACACUUGCUAGUCCCCUUUCAUCACACAACUGUUCACGAUCAGAUGUUCCUCCAAUGUUUACCACUUCAAUAUCUGUUUCAGCAUCCCAAAGGACUGAUGGAACUGUAAGACUAUUACGAGUUCCCAAACGAUACAGCUCCGGGUCAAAAUUCGAAAUGUCAGGCUUGUUAUGAUCUUCCCUAGAGUUAUUACUUACAAGCAGGCGUCGUCUCCUUGAAGAUUUAACAGUAGAGUCUUGAUUACUACUUUCACCUUUUCUUUCAUCUCUCGCCAAGCUUGAAGGGCUACCACACUAUCGAAACAAAAUAAGAGCAAAUGUUAAUGAAGAAGGGAAAAACGUUCAAAAGUGCAUAAGAAUUUUUGUUUAGGGUAAAAUGCUUCUUUCUUUCAAGUGGCAUUAUGCCAAAAAAGACAGAGAAAUAGUAUUUCAUCAGAAUGGUGAAGGAAAUCAAUUGCCCAAGAAAAGAGACAUCGUGUAAAAGAAUAUGACAUUCUAAUAGAUGAAAAAAUAAAGCUCAAAAGAACGUAAAAAUUACACCUUUGAACAGAAUCUGAAAUUAUCUCAGGGUUCAAUUAAUAAUUUGAAAGAAGCAAACCAAGCAGCAGCUCAAAAUUUCAAAAACAGUAAUAGUGAGCUUCCAAUUUUGCCUAGCUGAGGCAAAGUAUUCCUAAGUCAAAGCCUAGCAACAAGUUAAAGGAAUUGACAAGUUCUUGGAUGAUUAUUGAUUAAUCAGAUCAGACCAUAUCAAUUCACCAACCCACACUAUGAAUGUAGAAGAAACUCACAUUAACAUAUAAAAAAAACCACUCACUAAUGUUCACUAGAACAGAUAUUUUAAGAUAUGAUUUAUUUGAACCAAUACAAAAUGUUAUAUUCUAAAUGUAGCCAUGCGGAGAAAACUCGAAGUAUGAUUGUGUUGAGUUUAUAUAUGUUUGUGGAAAAACGUUAGAAAUGCUAUACCAGACAGUGUAUACACUCAUUUCAUUAUCAGGGUUCACAAUCUUUUCCUCACACACUGCAUACCUCCUCUCAACCGUCUUGCAUUGUUUUGUUAUAUCUAAGAAAAAUCAUGUCAAACCCCUUUUCAUAUUGAAAGUUCUACAACUAAUUCUCCCAAGUCAUUUGGUUAAAAGGAUGCUAAAAUGCAUAGAAUGAAAGUAUCUGUGGCCCAUCUCAAUACUCUACUCUCGCCAUGGACUCAUGUCUCGAUAUUAUUGCCACAGUUUUUGCAAAUCGCCAACACAUGCCCUAUCAGAUUCCUACUUGUAGUCAUAUGGCUUCCGUGAAGAGAUUUUUUAUAAAAUUGAAGGGUUUUUAUCCAACAAUCUGUCUUUUCCUGCUAGUAAAAUUUAAUAUCAUGCCUAUUUGGACUCUAAGGGGGCGUUUGGGAUUUAGAGUGGGUUAUUAUAAUCUGUGGUUAUUAUAAUCUGUGGGUUAUUAUACUCCAUGUUUGGGGUGCAAAGUAUUAUAGUUUAUUUUUUGGCAUAUAUAUAUUAGGUACAUGAAAUACCAUUUUUUGAAAACAUAGCUCGAAUUGUACCUUCCACUAAUUUAUACAAACUAGUUUAUUACUAGUUGGGAUACAUGUCUUCUACAAUUUUAUAUUAUAACAUAUUUUAUAGAAAUUGCUAUGUGAUUAAAUUAAAUUAUGUUAAUUAGGUUGUUCAUUUAAUAAAUUUAGUUACAAUCUUCAUAUACGACUAUUAACAAGUUCAACAAGUAGAUAAAAUAAUUUUGCAUGGAAAAUAGCAUAAGUGUAUUUUUAAAAAUAUUAUUAUAAUUAAACUAAAAAUGUAUUUGGAAUGACUUAGAAAAAGAUUUUUCAAAAAUUCGUUUUUAUUUAAACACUUUUGAUGAAAACUUCUUAAAAUAAAAACACAAUGUGUUUUAAAACAUUUUUUAGAAGUACUUGUAUAUACAAGUUUUUAUUUGUUUGUUAGAUACACUAAAAAUGUUUUUUUAAAAUUUUUCAAGAUUGAUUGGUGGCAACAGUUGCUGGAGUUGGUUUUCGAAAGUUUCCUGGUAGAGUCACUGAGAGUGGUGGUUGAAGAUUAGCCAACGACGAUCACUGAAGACUAGCCUAAACUCUAAAAAUAUUUUUAUUAAAAAUUUUCAAUAUUGAUUGGUGGCGACGAUCGCCAGAGUUGGUUGUUGAAAGUUCGUCGAUGGAGUCACUGGAGGUGGUGGUCAGAGAUUGGCCGAUGAAGAUCACCAAAGAUUAGCCUUAAACCCUAAAAAAUUUAUAAAAGUUUCAAGGUUGAUCGGUGGUGUUGAUUUUAUGGAAUCAAUCUAUAUUUCAUUAAUUACUUAAUAGAGAUACAAGCCUAUAUAUAACCAUAGAGAAAUACACUUAAGGAAAUAAUAUCAAAUAAUAUCUCCAGAAUAAUAUCUCCAGAAUAAUAUCUCCUAAGAAUAAUCUAAUUAUAUUAAUAGGUGGCAACCGAAGGUUGGUUGAUCGGUGGCAACCAAAGAUUGGUUGGCGAUGGCCGCCAAAGUUGGUUGUCAGAAUUUUACUAGUGGAGUCACCGGAGGUGGUAGUCGGAGACUGGCCAGCAAUGAUCAUCAGAGGUGAUGUCCGAAAGUUGGUCGACCAACUUCCCAGCUCUUGAAACAAAUACCCCUAGAAUUAAAGAAUAGUAAUGGCAUGUGAAUUGUUUUAAACUCUAAUCCUAAUCCUCAACUAAAACUAAACUUUGCUCCAAACAUGCGAGAUUGGGCUAAAAAGAGUAUUGAUGACCUCUCAACCACAGGUUGUGUGAAACUAUUGAAUCAUGAUGCAAUUUCCAAAGCUCUUACAAGAGCUCAAGCAAGGGGCUUAGCUAGCUUGGAUUGGACACUUAUUUGAAGAUGCUUGUGUUCCUUAAUUCUUCUGUUUCCUAAAAAGAUAAUAUUUAUCCUAGUUGCUAGAUCCGAUCUUUUUAAGGCCCAAGUCAUGUGAAAAGUGAUUCACUCUAGAGAAAGGUUGUGCACAAGGAUAGUUAUUAAAUAUUAUUACCGCUGCUCAUCAACCUACUGACACUUUUACUACCAGAGACUUGAAAGCAUUUUUUAUGUCUUAAAGGCAAGCCCAUGCUCUUUCUUACUUGUUGCCAUUUGUUGGAGGUGAAUUUUGGUUAGCCUAAUACAUUUGCAUAGCAUUUUAAGCAGUAAAGUCAGUAGGUGGACCUCAGAAUAAAAUUAGAACAUGCCAAUUUAUUGGGAUUUUAUAACAAUAGAAAUUUAAAUUGUUGGAGGAUUAAUCAAAAGAUAUCAUGUCAUCGACCUACGAUUAGAAUUGGAGAACCAGAUCACAUUACUUAAUUUAAGAAAACUAUUUACGUACGUUAGUAAUAUAGAACAGAUGUUUAUUAAAUUUAAACCAUUCGCCAGUACAAGAUAUUACCACAGGUUAAGACCUUAAUUGAAGAGUGGGCUUUGUCCUAUGAAGUAUAGCAACAUGGACAAAAAUGACGAGAUUCAAAAUGUAAGAUGGAAAGAAGAAUGAUAUAUCUUACCUCAAUCGCAAAAAGACCAGCAGAAGUUGGUUCCUCAAAACGGUUUCUGCUACUUGAGCUUGAUGGGUCUUCUAGCUUAGAAAUCCUCUUCCGCACUUUGUGCUUUCGCUUAUGAGCAGUGUCAUCACUUUUUCUAAAAUCAGAGGACAGAUCCUAGUUGGGAAUGACAGUAAAAGGGUUAACGAUAGGCACUAACUCUAGUCAUGUAUUGAACUCCUUUUUUCUCUUACGAUAACAGUGGUAGAGUCGAAAAGCCCUAGGGCUGUUACUUUAUUAAUGAUCAAAAACAGUUGUACAAAAGGGGAAGCCUUACUCUAUGUAGGAUUUGUUUUAGUUCAACAUGUGAGGCUGGAAUUCAAACUUAUGACCAUCAAUACUUCAUA
Molecule: long non-coding RNA, 67294 nt
Filed under: Cucumis sativus (cucumber)
Lineage: Eukaryota; Viridiplantae; Streptophyta; Magnoliopsida; Cucurbitales; Cucurbitaceae
Description: long non-coding RNA (CSAT_LNC001022)
Source: RNAcentral